GGCAGCGAGGCGGGGGAUAGGGAGGGGUCCUCCGCCCUAACCCCGCCCCGUUGUCAUCCCGUCCCUGUUUGUACCCAUCGCUCAGGUGUUACAAUCUCUAGCUCCACAUAUUUUUCGUGGCCCCUCCCACGAUUGCUACUUUGAAGUUGUUGCCAAGCUGUUCAGUCAAUUCUCAAAUAUGUAGCCCCAGCCGGACUUUGCUGUGGGAUUGCAGCUACGAGUCUCCAUGCCGGCCCCCCCACGCAAUUUAUUUUGCCAUUUAUGAAACUUGCAAGAAAGCUUUGUCCCAUGGGAAAGGAAAACAAUCCCCCAACCCACACGGCCUCGGGGUUUGGGGGGGGGGAGUGGGCGGUGGUGUUAAGUAGAAGGAGAAAAUGUGGUAGAAUUUUUUUUUUUUUUUUGUAUAUAUUUGUGAGUUAUUUUUUAAAAUAUUGUAUGGGUUGUGUUUUUGGAGUUAUUUUUGUUUGUUUAUUACUGUAGUAGUAUUGCAUUUGAAAAAUUAAUUUAUGAAAAACAGGAAAAUCCAAAAAGAACGGAUAUAAUUCAAGCAAAUAAAAAAAAAAAUAACAUCGCCGCUAGGAUAAGUCAGAGUGAUCAGGUGAAAGCUGUUAGAGUUUUCCUCGCUGCUUAGAUGAGGAAAUCUUUUUUGUUUUUGAUAAACAAUUUGGAGGAUUUCAGUUUAUGAUGAAUCUGUGGUUACAGCAUCAAUGACAUUCUUGGGGAAGUCAAUAAACCAGACUCUAACCCCAUUAAAAGAUAGAGACAUUUUUUACAGAAUGUGGACAGGAACAUUAGUGGUCCUCCUCAGUCCUCACAUGACUAAUUUUGACGUACUCAAAACUAGCCAACAUUGACCUCAUGCCAUGCAUCAAAUUCCCAAGAAGAGACAGCUCCCUGCCAUUGUUGUUUAGCUUCGAUCUAUAUAAUACAUAGAGCAUCACCCUCUAGAAUAAAGUGCGUAAUUCCAAAAUCUCUAGCAAAUUUUAGUGCUUCAAGGAAAGUAGGACACUCUACAUGCUCCGUACUCAGGGCGCCUGAAAUUCCCUCAACCAUAGCUGCUUCUAGCUGACCCCAGUGGUUCCUCACCACCAGUCCCGUUACAGCUCCGUUCUCCGUCCACAUAUUUGAUUUUUAGCAUGUUUUCUUUUGGUGCCACCCGCCCAUUUGCCAUGAUUCAAAAGGUUGCACACCCCAUAUUUUGAGUGUAUGACUUCAAAAACAUCAGAUGCGUUGGAAGUUUGUCGCAUAAGUUUCUAAUAAUAUUUAGAGUUCAGAAUCGGAAGAAAAUUUUUUAGUUUCAAUGCCAUCUUGUCAUUUGCCUUUUCUUUUCUUCGUGGAGGGCCAUAACUGAUCAAAGAUUUGGGGAUUGGAGAUGACACUUCGUAUAAGCACUGAAAAAAACAGUGACAGGCUAUGAAAUUAAACUUAAUUAGUACGCCAGUUAUGGUGCUAUCUAUCCAUCGGCUCUUCAAUAUCUAUCGGGCCAUGACAAUUCUGUCGGCUGUCAUGGAAAACGGAGGCGCCAAAAAACUCGAAGAAUCACUGGCCAAUUUUUAUUUUUUUUUUGUUUAGUACGGACUCAAUCAAUUAAUUGCAAAAACUAUAGCUCAAGCAGCUGCCUUCUGUUCUCAUUUGCCCAUGAAUAUGUGGGCAUGAGAUCUUUGAAAGCUCAUGUGGUUGAAGGAAAAGGCCUUUCACUUAUGGGUGGGACACAUUAAAAUUUCCUGGCUAGAAGCAAGAGUGUCAUUGCCUUCAAAGUUCAAAUUGAGCCGAUUCCCGACUAAACGUUCCACCAGAAAGUAGGACCACAUGAAACUCAUUAAUUCACAUAUUAUGCUAGUCUACUUCACAUGUGAAAUUAAAUCAAGUGAAGCCACAUGAAAUGCCAACUGCCUAAGAGGCUGUUGGUACCACCAAAGUCUUGGUGAAAAUGGGAGGCAAGGGUUUUUCACCUUGCCACUUCGUGGUUUUUUUCGAUGGAAAAAUCCCGUCGACUCCCCAUUCCCUUAUAAUGUUUAUCACUGUAAAAAAAAUAAAUAAAUUCAGUUGAAACUCCUUGAUUGAUUCGAGAAUAAUUAUUAUACAAUGUCCAAUACCUACUUCGGACCAACAUAAAAUUUUACUAUCACCAACAUUACAGAAUUACAAGAAGGGUAGGAAAGCGAAAAGAGAAAAUAGCAACAACCUCUCCUACAACACGUCACGUCUUUACAUGUGUCAUAUUUGAGCUAUCAAAUCCAGGCAGAUCGACACUUUGCUAAUUUAGUGCCAGUUGCUAUCAUAGUUAUAAAACUUGGCUCGAUCCGACGGUCGAACCGAUCAAUCAGUGAAUCAGCCAUAGAAUCGAAUUGAAUUGCUAAUUAAAUCAAUUAAACAACAAAUUCGUUGACCUGUUAAAGACUUGAGAGCUCAACUGGUGAACCAAAAAAAUCGCUAGUCAAACCAUUAGUUGAAACACCAACUUAAAAAAUUUACUAUUCUUAUAAUAUAAAAUAUGUUAUUAUAUUUAUAAUAUAACUAAUAUACAACCCGUGACUGAACCAGUAACUUAGUGAUUCAAUCACCUCUCUAAGUUGAGUACUGGACCGAAUUUAAUAACUAUGGUUGGUACCAAACCUCCCCGCUACAACUGUAUAUAUUUGUACUCCACGUGUCUAAUUUACGGGUUUGGUCCCGGACCAUCGGUGUUAGUUAUACAAGUUAGCUACAGAGGGGAGAUGCGCAUGUUGUGUUUGGUAACAAUGGGAGAUAUUGCAGAUCAAACGAUCAAGGCUGAUUUAGGUAAUAUCGGUGUUUGUGGGCCAGAACCAAUCUCUGCUGUUGAAAUGUCCAUAUGAUUAUUAAUUAGCCAAAGGGAUAAUUUCAGAAACCUCCCUUGACGUUUUUAACAAUUUCAUUUAGCUUUCUCGAAAUUUUUAAAAUUAUACAUACCUUUCUUGUCAUUUAAAAUGACAAUACUACCUUUAAAUAUUUUAGUGAAAUUCCCUUGUUUGGUAUGUUUAUAUUUAGAAUGACUUUUAAAAUUAUUUUUUAUUAUUUUUCUUUUUUUAAAAAAAAAUUUUUGUCAAUAAAACUGUAGAACUACCUAUCAGGAAAUUAACCUUUUAUAAUCGUAUAGACAUUUCAAAUAAUAAGUAGUGGUUUUGUAAUCAUAUAGAGAUUUCAUAAUUUCCCGUAAAUCAAAAGGAAAUGCAGUGAUUAUACUAGUGGUUCUACAGUUUAUAUGAUUAUCAUAUAAUCUAUAUAGGCUACUUACAUAUAGUCUACAUAUAUGACUACAGCUUAUAUGAUUAUUAUAGUUGUUUAUCAAAUAGUACUAUAUGGACAUGAAAAAUUUGGUAGCUUUUCUUAUAAUUAUACAAUAUAAUCUUAUAAUUGUAUAGGAAAAUAAAUUAAAAUUCAUUACACAAUAUCAUUUUUUGGGUAUUCAUUUAAAAAUUUGAUAAAGUCAAUAUUAUUUUAAGAUUUUGUUAUUAAAACUAUCAAAUCAAGGGAGGUAGGUGUAAUUUUUAAAAACCUCAGAGAAAUUCAGUGAAAUUGUUAGAAAUCUCAAGGGAGAUUUUUGAAAUUAUUCAAAAGCACAAUCAGCGAAACUACUUGCCCGCACAGUUAUAUGUAGAGAAAUUUCUAAUUUUGUGAUGAAUUUUAAAAAAAUUCUACAAAAUGGGUGAUUUUGGCAAUGGAUUCCGUACUGAGCGAUGCGAGGUUAGAGCAUUUCACGAAUGCGAUGUUAGAAUAGAGCUCGUAUUCGCGAAAUGCGAGCUCUACUCUGUAGUUCUUCUUGAAGUAUUCAUCAUGUCAGGUUCUUGUAGGAGGCAUAAGUUCAUGCUCUUCAGUCUUCUUCUUGCUUUGAUUCUCAUCUCAUCAGAAGCAUCAAGAUUUCCAAAGGAUAUGUGGAAACAGAUGCUGCCUAAAAGGCUUCCAUCUCCUUCUUCAGCUCCCUCUGAGCUCGCAUUUCGCGAAUGCGAGAUUAGAAUAGAGCUCGCAUUCGCGAAAUGCGAGCUCUACUCUGUAGUUCUUCUUGAAGUAUUCAUCAUAUCAGGUUCUUGUAGGAGGCAUAAGUUCAUGCUCUUCAGUCUUCUUCUUGCUUUGAUUCUCAUCUCAUAAGAAGCAUCAAGAUUUCCAAAGGAUAUGUGGAAACAGAUGCUACCUAAAAGGCUUCCAUCUCCUUCUUCAGCUCCCUCGAGAGGAUCAAAUUCUGUAGCUACUGCAUCUACAGAUAUUGAAGCCCAGAGAAAGCUUCCUAAUUCAUCUGAUGGAGGCAAGGUGUAGCAGAUAGUGAAGAGGGUUAUUCACAAUUGACAUCUCUAACUGUAAAGGCAGGUUACUUGCAGAUUUUGUACACGAUCUGGUACAUACAUUUUGCACUCAUCACAUCGAUGAAAGGGCAAAACUGAGUGAUCAAGCGAUGAGGAGAUUGAUUGAAGGCCGUCUAAUAAGUGGAUCUCCUGUAAAGAUGCUGAGUCGCUACUCAUCAGAGACAGCAUAGGGCACGAUUGUAGAGAUAGAGAUUCAAUAGAGGAGGCAUAAUUAUUUAGUUUGUAUGUAGAAGACAAUUUUGAUGUGUCCUGUAAACUCAGUGAGCUCGCAUUCCGCAAAUGCGAGCUCCAAUGCGACCUCGCAUUCGUAGAAUGCGACCUCACUGAGCUCGCACAGAAUGCGAAGACCCCCAUUUGUAGAAAACACUCCAAGAACCGCCCUCGUUGUAGAAUUCUUUUUUUUUUUCCAUCGUAAACUAAGAAUUCACCCGUUAUAUGUAAGCCGCAGCUCUAAUCGUUAGCACAUGAACAAGUAUUGUGUUCAAAAGCUACACUGCUUGUGAACCGACCAAUAUUUACUCAACAAACACAUAAAACUCCAUUAACGAAUGUUUGUGCUUUGUCAGGUUUUAUUCCCAAAUCCUCUGGUAGCGAAGUCGAACUUUAUAUUGGCUAAUAUUGCCAAGUCAAUCGAGUUACUCAAAAGCCCUCUAUAUCCUUCCUACCCGCCUGAAUCCCUUGUGGUGGCGGCACGCAUAUACACUCCGGUGGGACAGGGCAAGCCUAGGAGAAACCUCAGACUCGUCCGUGGCUUGUUUAUAUGCCCGUAAACUUUCCAAAAAGUGUCGAGCUCUGAAACCAACCAACCCCCCCCCCCCCCCCCGGGGGCGGGGAGACAAAAUAGUACGUAUUUCCAUCUAAAAGCGUCACAGUCGGGCACGGACUCUAAUUUUUGUGUUGAUCAUAAUAUAAAGUUGAUUUGCUUGUGUGCUAAUAUCAAAAAUCAUAAAAGCUCAAAGCUCACAUGUUGUUGUUGCACGAGAUACGUAACACAACAAAUGCACUAAAAGAUCAUAUUGUAAAAGAACGUUUGAGGUCGAUAUUGUGUUACUGAUCAUGUAAAUAAAGAAUCAGUUAGUCUAGUAUACUUUUCUGAUAUAUAUAUAUAUAUAUAUAUAUAUAUAUAUUGUGUUCCUUAAUUCUUUCUUUCUCAGUGAUCAUAGUGGCAUUUUUUUUUCCCUUCAUUUUAAAGAAAAUCAAUAGGGAUUCUUCAUCUACGCUUGAUGAUGAUUCAGAGAACUUUUAGGUAAAUGAUCUUGCCAACUAACUUGUUAGGAAUCAUAACAGGCGCUAAUUUUUAACAUUUGAGACCUUAGACAAUCAUAGUGGAGAUCAAUAAUUAGCUAAAUUAGAAUGUGAUUAAUGGUUUAGAGUUGUCAGUAACACUCCAAUUUAUAGCUAUAUCUGUAAUUUUGCCAUUCUCAAUUUACAUUGUGAUAAUUAAUUAAUUUUUUUGUGCCUAAAAAUCCGUCUUGGCCCGCAAAGCUUUCAUCUUUUUCCAGAAAAAAAAAAAAAAGAAAACAGUGGAACUUGGACGUUCACUAGACUCCAUCAAACACAUGCAAGAAUCAAGUUACAUCGUAGUAAAAAGUACAAUUCAGACUUGGUAUCCAUUUCUAAUCUAGAAUUCUGAAUCACUAGCUCAUAAAACAUCCGCAUUCUGGUCAUGCUUGAAUUGCUUGUUUCCGUCGGAAAAUAUUGUCAUUUUCCGUGAUCACAUUUCCCUAUCACAUUUUUCCUUCACAUAUAUCAAAUCGCUACAGUAAUUUUUCCAUGAAAAAUGACAGAAAAUGCAAUCCAAACACUACUUAAAUUUUCUUUCUUUUUCUUACGAGGCAUAGCUACAAAUAGAAUUUCCAAGUUAACCAUUUAAAUGGGAAGGAGAUGCAACAAUAAGAAAUGAUACAGUCUGAAUCAAGCGCCACCUGUUCAAUUGCAUCGUAAGAACUUUUCGUGAUCGAUCGGUGCGAACUAAUAGGAAAGGAAGUAAUGAAGUAGCUGGAACUUUAAAAAAAAAAUGAAAAAAUGAAAAGAGAGAGUAGCAGCAUAUCAGGGCAAACAAAGCAUGCGAGGUACAAGUUAGGUAUUGAGGGUGGAAUCAAUUGCUUUAUGAACUGCGAAAUGACAAUAAUGAGUUCUACCAAUUAAUGUACAAUUUUGUCCUCCACAAUUUCGGGAAACAUAUAUAUAUAUAGGGGACAUGGGGUACAGAAACUGAGGAGCUAAUCCUACACUAGAAACAUCAAAAUACCAAUACAAAAAGUACAGUACAAAAACAACAGCCAUAUCCCCACAAUGGAUGUACAUGAUAAAAAAAAAAUCAAGUAUACAUACUUGGAGCCGACGAAGGCAGCCAACGCUUGAUGAAUCUCGUUUUCUCAACAAAUUCACGGUACGUACAGCUAUCUAGCUGUCCUGAGUCCACCAUCUACCUGCAGAUAAAAUCUUAAUGGAGAUUACUUACAAGUUUAGGGUUAUAGAGAGAUGCGCACCUAGAGAAUACCCGAGCUUGAUACUCUUAUUGAGCUACUGUUGACUCGGUGCUGGCGGAGCUUUUCUUUCCUCGGACCAAUACCGGCAAACCACCGUGGAAAGUGGCCGUAAGUCCAGGAGAGAAGCGCGGGCUUUGAUGGGCUUCAGCUAAAACGAUGUGAAAGUCUCGCAGCAAUGAAAUUGCUACACUCUUGAGCUCCACAAGUGCCAUAUCUUUCCCCAGACAGACCCUUUGUCCAGCUUGAAACACAGGAUACUUGAAAGGGUUUUCUUGGAAGAAGACGCCAUCUCUCAACCACCUCUCGGGCUUGAAUUCUAAGCAAUCGGAACCCCAGAUAUUUUCCAUCCGCCCCAUCGCGUAAGGAUGAUAAGUAACUCGUGUUCCCUUCUUAACAGCGGUUCCAUCAGGGAAGAUGUCAUCCUCCAGGCAAAAUUUUGAAUCGAAUUGUACGGGUGGGUACAGUCUCAUACUCUCAAAGAUUGCAGCAUGCAAAUACUGAAGCUCUCUUAGUUGUUCCAAGCUGGUGAGCUUUUCUUUAGGCCCCACGACUCGAUCAGCCUCCCGUUGAAUAGCAGCCUCGACUUCCGGGUGGUUAGCCACAAGCCAGAAGAAGCUUGUCAAAGUCGAGGCAACUGUGUCGCGACCUGCUAGGAGGAAGCUUAUUAUAAUAUCUCUUAAGUAGGUUUCAUCAGUGACGCUGCCCAUAAAUCGAGAGAGAAGAUCUUUGUGUUCGGAAAAACCUAAUUUUCGGCGUUGCCUUAUGACUUCUUUAGCUAGUAGGUUGAUCAUCUGGAUGGCUUUCCGGAGUUCCUUCUCGCUGCCUAUAUUCAGCAUCCUUUUGACCUUCCAAGUAACUGGUGCAGCGGUCAUGGCCCUUUCCGCCGACAAUCUGGAUGCUAGGUCAAAACAGACAGCAAACUCUGAAAGAGGCAGGGAUAUUUCUAGACACCUGGGGUCCAACCCAAACGAUACUCUGCAAAUACAAUCGAAUGAAAAUCUGCGGAAAACGUCUUGAAAAUCAAGAACGCGAUCUUCUUUACCCGCUGCGAAGGAGGAUAAAAGAGGAAUAAGGCGAUUUUCGAUCUCGUGUUGGACAACAUCGAAGGCGUAAGAUCUCAUGGAGAUUCGACACAGCUCAAGACUGGCCAUUUUCCUCUGGAAUUUCCAUAAGUCACCAUCAACGUUAAAUAUGCCCCGGCCGAGAAAGUCCCCUAGGAUGGUCGAAAAAGGUUUGCCUUUGGGAUAAUUCUCAAACCUGGUUUUGAGUAUGUACUCAACAUUUUCGGGAUUAGCAGUGAUUAUGUUGCCGAGUACGUGCACGUGAAUAGUUUGAGAAGGCGAAUCCUGGAGGAGAUAAGUGUACCAAUCGCACAAGUUUUUGAAUUUGACUGACCAACUGGAGCUAACAUAAGCUUGGCAAAUCACACACUUGCACCAAACUCUUGGCCUCAUAACAAAAUACUUCAGGAUAAGAAAUACAAAAGCCAUCGCCAAAGAGAAGACAAGGAAACAGAAAGCUUGAAACUUAGGCACGAUAAAGCAUGAAAAUUGGGCAGACUCCAUGGAUGGGUGAUUUUUUUAUGAAGAUAAAGAGGGUGCGGGCAAUGGAAGGCCAAUAAGAGUAGCUAGCAUGGACUAAGGGGAAAGAGACCAAUAUUUAUUAUUUUGAAAGAGUUACAUAUAUAAUGAACCAACAGUUGAACAAGGAAAUGCAAAACCAGGUUUCACUGUUCUUCAUUAUCUUUAGGUAGGAAACAAAAUUAUAUCUGCAAAAAAAAAAAAAAAAAAAGAAAGGUGAGAGCAGGGAUAACGCAUGGGCUAAAGGAAAAAGUCAGUUUGAUGACGCAUCCUUCUGCACCAUCCAACCAAACAGUAUAUAAGACUAUAUAUAAGCUAAGCUAAUGCAAUAUAUAGUUUGUACACAUUCCAACACGUGCUCAUAUUCUUUCAUUUGUACCCACUCGAUGGGUAUAAUAUUGGGCUCGGCAGCGCGGCGACUCAUGGGAGCAUGUUGUCAUGUUUAUGGGUGUUUACUGAAUUAUUUUUCCCUUUGAGAAACUGCAACUAACGCCAUUUUGCCUCUUUCCAGCUAGUGUUGUCGAAUCAUAUGACUUCAUAAUGGCUGGGUUUGGUCUUGCUCCCCACAACAAUGCAAAUUUUCUGAAGUUAUUCAAUUCAUAAAAAUGAGGACCCAAAAAAAAAAAAAAAGUAUCUAAGUGCAAAGGAUACAAACUAUUAAUAUGUGAUUCAGAAAACAGAAUCCCUUUCUGAAGUUCUCAAAAAACUAAUCUUGUACCAUGUUAUACAAGUAAAUUCUGAAUUAUGGCAAGUUAAUUGAUUCUAAGUCAUACAUUCAAGAUUUGAAUCUGGGUAAGUUAAUUUAUUUGUACGAUUAUUUGGUGCAACGAAUCUUUUAAAAUCCCACUUUCUGCUCCGUUGUAUGAUCUACUUUUUAUUAUAUUGCUAUUUUUCCUUCAUAAACAUUAUAUUUUAAUUCUUUUUUGUUUCCUUAAAUUUCAAUAACUAUUAAAUGAGUAAUAUGCAAAAUUUAACGGACUCAAAAAAUCAAAAUACACAAAAUUAAAUGAGAUUUUUUGUGAAUGUUGUCCUUUAUUUUGUGAUUUUCUAUUAUAUAUUAUUUUUUGAGAUUGUUGUAUUUAAUUUUUUACUGUAUUAAUAGUUAUUCGACUGUGAAUAAAAAAGAAUUAAAAUAUGAUAUUUAUGAAGAAUUAAAAUGUGUGACAGAAGAUUUAUCUGAAAAAAAUUAAGCAGAAUAGCCUUAGAUAGACACAAAAUUUCUUGAGCUCGCUGGUUCUCCAGACUCUAGUGGAGCAAACAUGGACCAGUACCUUCUCCAUUGAGAGAUUAACUCUGAUCUGUUUUAGCUUCUAUACCUCUUCUGUCGCCAUAAUUAUCCCUUGGUGGGCGGCUUUCAGAUGAAUCUUCUUGGGAUGCGACCUUGCAACGGUAAGUCCAUGUCCAUGGGAUGGGAUAUAUAUAUAUACACACAGUGUGUAUGUACAUGUGUAGUGUUUUGACAAAAGGGAGUGGUAUAUAAUAUAUCGUCAACCAUACAAUCACAAGGCGAGGCCAGUCGUCAUUGGUGCCAUAUCUGAUUGAAGCAAAUUGGAUAAGCCAUUCCAUGCAUGGAGUAAACUUUUUCAGAAAGCAACCGAUUUCCGGUUAUGCAGUAUGUACGCUAAUUACAUCUCAACUGUUAAAUGUGGUAACCGGAACGGAGAAACUGACGGAAGUUCCAAACUGGUGUUCUUCCAUGGCGCGCGACAAAUUAAUCAGAAUUUUUGGGCACCCCGUAAUUAUCCACAUUCAUGUUUUUGGCCCUUAAGGUGACACUCCCACAUCCUAUAUGGGUUAGGUUACAUGGCUGUUAUUCACAGACAAGACUUUAGAUUGAGCUCGACAAGUUUGGUUAAGUAUGGCCGGUAUCUGGCUUAAUUUCAUUGGAGAAUUGAGGCCAGAGCAGUCCCGUCAGGCGAUGUUAUGUUUCACGAGCAAGUAAGCCCGGCCAAUGAUUAAAUCGGCGGAUCACGAGAUUAGUUUCGCUACCUGACAUAAACGAUUUAAGUAACAUGAUGAUUGCUUGCUAAUUGCUAUGUAUGGUAUAUGACGCCUAUAGAAAAUGUACAUGCAUGUUCUUGCCACCUUCAUGUGUAUGCCCCAUUCAAAUUGAUUAAUGCCGCCAAACACAGGCGCCUUCAUAUCGGCGGCAUCUGUUAUAAUUUUCACAAAAAUAACAAGGGCGGAAUCUUUCUAUUUUAUGUUUUCUUAAUGAUUUUUAACCAUUAAAAUUUUGUAUCAUAUCAACUUGAGAAGGAAACAGGCUGAAGUGCGUUCUGGACAAAUUAGACAGCUCUUUCAAAUUGACUGUACUUUCUUUAAACGGAAGCAACACGACAUGUGCAUACAUGAAACGAACUGUGAUUUCUUUUCUAAUGGUACCACGUUUCAAUUGAGCCAGCAGCAAAUUUGCAAAUAAAGAUUUCUUUUUAGUUUAUUUUUUCUAAUAGAGACGCCAUUCUAGGGUUUGAAAGCCCAUCUGGAUUGUUAUUUUUACGAAUUUUUUUUAAAAAAAUAUUAUAACAAUUUGAUGUAUGCAAGAUUUUAAAAAAAUGAUUGAAAAAUAUGUUUACAGGAAACGAAAUUUUUUUUUUUUUUGUUUUUGUAAAAAAAAUUAGGGCAAAUUACAUUUUAACCCCUUGUGGUUUUCGCAAAAACCACAUAACCCCCCAUCGUUCAAAAAGCUAUACAUAAACCCCCUGUGAUUUGGGUUGAACUGGCAAAUAGACGAAAAGCACCCACCGUAACGAUUCGUAGGCAAAAUGUCCAAAUUACCCUAAUAUAAAUACAAAAAGGAAGCAGAUGAGUCAGAUUCUUCCUUGUUCUGUCUUUGUCGUGAGAAAAGGAGAGAAAAACAUGACCACCGAAUGAAGGAGAGAAAUUUAACCCACAAAGAUCUACCAUUGAAGACCAAAAAGUAGCUGUGAAAGAGCAUCACGAAAGCUGUUGUUGCAUCUGGUAAGUUUUUUGACAUCAUUUUAGCAUAUAAGAUGCACUUGCAUGGUUUUUGAACAGAAACUAGCGGGCAUUGGAAAGUUAAUAAAUCAGUGAUUAUUUUGCUUAAGCGUUGAUUAAUUUAAAAUUUUGCUGCUUUGGGACAAUCUGUAUUAUCAUAUUUAAGCAUAGAGUAUUUUAUCGACUAGAAUUGAAUUUAUGCAUUAAGAUUAGGGUAAAGAAAAUUGCAUUCGGGAGUUCUAAAAUCACCGGAAUUUCAACUAAACAUGGGUAGAAUACGACUUUGUUAGUUUGAGAUUUGUUGAUUAGUGUCAGAUUUGGGUCAAAUGUGGGUGGCUUGAUUUUCAAUAAUAUAGAGUGAUUUGGCUGCUGAUAAAGUUUUGACAAUUUGGACAUUGAAUAAUUUUUGCUUGUCGGCUUAUUGGCCGUCAUGUGGUCCAUGGAAGUAUGCGAUAUGCAAUAUGUCCUUUUCUUAAUCAGAUUGUAUUUUUUUGUAAUCAUGUGUUUUCAUUGAAGUGUGUAAUCUAUUAAAUGUCCUUUUCUUAAUCAGAUUGUGUUUUUUUUUCUUAUCAUGUGUUUCACUAUUUCUAAUGCAGGCUUUGAAAAAAAUGACAACUUCAAAAAGAAUUACUAUAAAAUUGCAUUUCGGUGGUAUAUUCAUAUGGGAACCAGAAACUGUCUAUACUGGUAACAAUGUAGCCAUAUUUAAAAAUUGUGAGACAAGAAAAUUAUCCAGGGAUAUGUUGUGUAAAUUGUAUAGUAGGUAUGGUGAUGCCUCGAAUGUGAACCUAUAUUUUGAAAUACCAAAUUGUGGGUUGUAUGUUGGAGCAGCUGAAAUUAAAGGAGAUAAAUAAAUAGAGUUAAUGUUAACUGCACAUGAAGGAGUAGAUGUUAUCAACAUAUAUGCUGAAUUGCGUGAUGAAAUGCCUAGUGAAAUUGCUUCAGUUGGAGUAAAAAGUCAUGGUAAAAGUGCCCCCACUGAUGCCCCACAUAGUGGAGCACAAAAUGUGGCAUCUGAUAAAGAUACCCCAAAAAAGUUAGCAAGCAAAAAGGGGAAACAGAUAGUCAAGAAGUCAGUGAGAAGACAGACCAAACUAACUGGAAACAAAAAGCACAGCAAAGCAGAGUCUAAUUCAGCAAAGGAAAAAGGUGAAAAAGCUGUAGAAAAGCAAGAUGAAGUUGAAAAACAGCCUGAAAAUGAAGAUGAGUACGGUGAUGCUACAUCUGAUAGUUUAGAAGAGCCUGAGUGGUUGAAAGAGGGAUUAGAAGGACCAGAAGAUGAGGAUAUUUUUGCAAACAGAGCAAAGGCUAAUGAAAUAGAAAAUCAGCAGCAGGCAAAAGGCACAGAUGAAGAACCAACAACAGCAAACCAGACAUAUAUAAUGGAGGAUCUGCAAACACCAGGCUCUUUUAAGAACAAAUUUGAAGAAUGGGAGAGUUCUAAAACUAAUGAAGAGUGGAAUGAAUUUGCUAUUGAUGAUGAAGAACUGCUUGACACUAUGUGGGGAGAUGAUGAAAGAAAUGGGAAAGGUAAUAGUUGUCGAGAUUUUAAUGCUGCAGUUGAAUUCAGAAAGUCAGAUUUUGAGUUGAAAGUUGGGGAUAAAUUUAAGAACUUACGGGCCUUUAGAGAAGCACUUGUGGAAUGGAAUGUCAGGGAAGGCUACACCAUGAAGUACAAAAAAAAUGAAAGAGCAAAAGUUAUUGCCAUGUGCAAAAAGGGUUGUUCUUGGAAAAUACGGGCAAGCCCAAUUCAAAAUGAAAGCACCUUUCAGAUCAAAUCAAUAAAGGGAGUGCAUGUGUGUGGAAGAGAAUACAGCAAUCAUCAUGCAAAUGCAAGAUAUUUGAGCAAAAAAUAUUUAGACAGGUUCAGAGAUGAACCAAGUUCUUCUAUUGAAGGAUUUGUCAAGACUGUGAGGAGAGAGAUUAUGGUGGACAUAAGCAUGAGACAGGCUUAUAGAGCUAAAAGAUUGGCAAGAGAGGCACUACAAGGGGAUGAUAUAAAACAGUAUAAUGUCAUCAGAGAUUAUGCUGCUACCUUGUUGAUCCGGAAUCCUGGUAGCCAUAUUGUCCUGCAAGUGACUAGACUGGAUGAGAACGAGGUUGGGAUAUUUGAAAGAAUGUACUGGAGUUUAAGUGCAAUGAAGAAUGGGUUUCUAGCUGGUUGUCGACGAAUAAUUGGAUUAGAUGGCUGUUUUUUAAAAAGUCCAUUUGGUGGACAACUUUUGACAGCUAUGGGUAGGGAUGGCAAUGAUAACAUGUUUCCCAUUGCAAUGGCUGUAGUGGAAGCCGAGAGAUAUGACUCAUGGAAAUGGUUUUUGAUGGUGUUGAAAAUUGAAGUUGGUGCUGAAAAUGGAGCUCCAUGGACAUUCAUAUCUGAUAGGCAAAAAGGAUUAGUCAGUGCAAUUGAUGAUGUGUUUCCUGAAUCAGAGCAUAGGUACUGCCUUCGUCAUAUAUAUCAAAAUUUCAAACAGAAGUUCAAGGGAAAGGAGUUGAAGGAGUACUUUUGGGCAGCUGCGUCUGCUGGGAACAUUCGUGACUUCAAGAUAGCAAUGGCUGAAUUGGAAAGGGCUGAUCCAAAGGUGGGAGAAGCUAUGAAUGCAGCUGGUUGGUUAAACAGGAUUCCUGCACAUUUAUGGUCCAGGUCACAUUCCAGCUCCUCAUGCAAGAGUGAUAUUCUUGUUAAUAAUUUGAAUAAGUCAUUUAAUUCCUACAUACUUCCAACAAGAGAGUUCACAAUCAUCUCCAUGUUUGAGUGGAUAAGAAGAAAACUCAUGCAGAGGCUAAAUGUGAAAAGGGAAGGCAUGCAACAGUAUGAAGGGAACCUUUGUCCAAACAUACAAGAACGACUUGAGAGGAACAAGCUAAAUAGUAGGUUCUGCAUAGCUCAUUAUUCUCGGGAUGCUGAGUAUGAAGUGGAUUGUGGGACUAGAGUAUAUGUUGUUGAUAUAAGUCGUAGAACAUGCACAUGUGGAUCAUGGCAACUAAGUGGGAUUCCAUGCUCACAUUCUAUUGCUGCCAUUCAAAGGGAUAAAUCAGAGCCUGAACACUAUGUUGAUCCUUGUUAUAGCAAAGAAGCAUACUUGAGCACCUAUAACUACACUAUAGCUGCAAUGCCCUCUGAAGACUAUUGGGAUUCAAAAGGAGCUGAAAAGGUGAAUCCCCCAAAGAUUAGAAAGCAACCUGGAAGACCCAAGAAAGUGAGAAGAAGAGAAGCUGAUGAAGUUAGAGGCACCACAUCUACAAGAAAAGGACUUGUUGUGCACUGUAAGAAGUGUUUUAGGCCAGGACAUAAUUCUAGGACUUGUAAAUUCCCAAUCCAUCCAAAGUCCAAGUUUUAUAAGGUAAGUAGUAGUUAAUUUGUAAUCAGUGUCAUAUGUACUUAAUUUGUUACCUUAUGUGUUACCAUUAAAAUAGGUGCCUGCUGGAGCUAGUGAUGCUGGAAAUGCAGGUGAAGAUGUUGUAAAUGCUGGAAAUACAAGUAUUGGAUCUGUCUCACAACAGGGUUCAGUGUCACAGGUACUAUUAAUGAUGAUGGUUAUUACUGCAAUUACUGCAUUUAACUGACUUAAACCUAUCUAUUUAUGCAGCCUUGUGAAACUUCUGCUGCUAAACCAGUUUUUGAAACUAGAAGACCAACUGAUGAACCUGUUGAACCUGUUUUGGACACUAGAAGACCAACUGAUGAACCUGUUGAACCUGUUUUGGAUACUACAAGAACUGCUUCUGCUGUUGAACCCAUUUUGGAUACUAGAAGAUCAACUAGAGUCAGAAAACUUGUACCAACAGUUGCAAGUGUGUUGGAAAAUUUGAGGGCUAAGAAAGCUAAACGUGUUUCUAGAAUGUGAGGACUAAGAGGGCUAAACGUGUUUGUAAUUCAAUUAAGUUAUUUGUCUGCAAAUGCUUUUUUUUAAUAUGUUGUUGCUACACUUUCUGUUGAAUCUUGGUGUCUACUGUUAAUAUGUUGUUGCUACACUUUUUGUUGAAUCUUGGUGUCUGCUGGACUUAAUGAUUAGCUACUUAUGUACCUUAUUUUGUUUUGUAAAAAUUGGUUAUGAACUUCUGGACAGCUAUAUUGUCAAAUGAAUCCAAAGUUCAGUGGUGUGAGCCCAUGUUAAGUAAGUCAUACGAAUUUGGUUCAAUGCUUGGUUCAAUGCUUCAGAAUUUGGUUCCAUGCUUGAGUCAUCUUGGAAAUUGACUUUUGAUGUGUGCUUUUUUGCUUUAGAACUUAGUCUGAACCUUUACUGCUCCUUAUUUGUCUAUACUUGAACUCUUGCCGCAUAGCUAUAAUGGUAGUUAAAUUAAGGGAUAAUUUCAGAGCAAUGUGGUACAUGUUUACAAGCAAGCAGGUUAAAAUCCCGCCUGCAUAAUAACACUGAAACCCGCAAGCGGGAUUCUGUGUUUUUUCUAUUUCAAGAUUAGCUCGCAUGCGGGUUAAUGUUAUAUUUGAGCGCGAGAAGAAAAAAUUGGUAAUUAGGCUCUUUGGGCAUUAUAAGUAAAUAUUUAAAUUAAUGGCAGUUUUAUUACACCAAUAUUAUUGUAUUAUCAUUAUUAUGAUUAUUGUAUUAUUUCUUAGGCAAAUAUAACAUUUAAUUAUUUAAAUUUGAUUUUAUUUUUACAAUUUAUAAAAUUUUUAUCACUUAUAUAAUAUUUUUAAAACCCUAAUACAUCUAAAUUUGAUUUUAUUUUUCAAAUUUAUAAGAUUUUUAUUUAAAAAAAUGGGAUACGGAUAAGAUAUCCGGUUGGUUCGAUUUGCAUAUGUGCAUAUGAGAAUAUUCGAAUACUUUUUAAACCCGCAUGCGGGUUUAAGGAGAUUAUGGCAACUCUCUGACACACUAGUUACCCGUCCAACUCUCAGGGGAGGUUUCUGAAAUUAUCCCUUAAAUUAAUUGAGAUACUUUCUUUUGCUUUAAACCAUUGCAAAUGUCCACUUUGGAUAGCUCAUGUAUGUGCUUUUUGGCUAUGCUAUCUCGAUGAGUACAAAGUUCAGCCUGUGAGUACCAAAGCAGGUUCAUACCAACUGGAAAUCAUGUUUGCCUAUUAUAUCAAUUGACUACCAAAGCAGAUUCAUUCAUUCAUUCAUUGAACACAACAGGUUCAGAUUUACAACACUUUUAGAGCCACAAUUCAUCUGAAUUAUUUUCACUUAAACAUCAAAAUGAGAAAUGAUAGCACAGAUAUAGCAAAACAAGCACCCACGCAAAUCUUCAUGGCUCCUAAGCUUUCUUCAAUGUUUUUCAUUUUCCUCAAAUAUAAACCACCAUCCAUGCGCAAGCCUUCCACUUCUGAACUAUCAAUACUUGAUUCUCCACUAAAUAUGUCUCUCCUUGUAACAUUCAAAUCACUAGUGUAAUUGUCUUAUUCUCCUUGUUGGAUUGCACCAUGAGAAAAAUUCCCAACUUCUUGUCGCACAAACAAAAUAUAGCUUUCCUUUUGAAGGUUUGUCAGAUUCAACAAUUUUUACCGCUGCUUUUCUCCCACAUGAACAAAAUAGGUAUUGGUACCUUAGAUUUUCAGUACUUCCACCAGCACUGCUUGAGCAUGACAUCUAUAGUUUAUUGAAAAAAAAUUAAUAAUCCAUUCAAGUCAUAUUUCAGGAAAAGUAAAAGACUGCACCUUGAUGUUAGAACUCACCUUCAGAUUUCCUUCGUUCUCUAUCUUGGGUUCCUUCACCAACAUUCAGUGCAAAGUCAGCUACAAAGUAUUCCGGAAGAUGGAAAGAGAUGAGGAGCACCCAUCUAGGCUUUAUUGGGUACGUCAAAUUGGUCAGGGGUAAUAUGGGUAUGUUUCCUACUGCUACCAGAAGAACAGGCGCGUUUUGCCCACGAAUCGUUACGGUGGAUGCUUUCCGUCUAUUUGCCAGUUCAACCCAAACCACAGGGGGUUUAUGUGUAGCUUUUUGAACGAUGGGGGGGUUAUGUGGUUUUUUCGAAAACCACAGGGGGCUAAAAUGUAAUUUGCCCAAAAAAUUACAAUCCAGAAAGGAGUUGUAACGAAUAAAACGUCCUCGCGGAAAGUGGAGAAUUAUUGACCGGAGGAGGAGCUAUAAGUCAUUGAAAGAGAGACCAAUUAAAUUAGCUUUGUUGUCAGUUUCUGUUGGAAGAAAAAUGAUAUUAGGGAUUAAUUACUGAGUUUGACUAGCUCAUGUCAUGAAUUGCUAAACAAUCAAUCGUCGGAUACCCAAGGGGAACAAUGCCAAGCAGUCUUCUUGCACAUCAAUGGGUUUGUUUGGAUAAGAAUUUAUUUGAAUGAUUUAUUUGAUUUAGUUAUUAUAAUAUUUUUUUUAUGAUGUGAUGUACGUGAAAUAAUAAUAUUAAUAGAAUAUAAAUAGCAACAAAAAAAAAUUAUGUUUUUUUAUGAUGUGACGUACGUAAAAUAAUAAUAUUAAUAGAACACAAAUAGCAAAGAAAGAGAAACACCACGCGGGAAUAAAUUUAACCCAUAAUGGCAAGACGCAUCCAUUAGGAUCAUCCUCCUCAUACUGACGUGGCGCAAUAAGAGUAAAAUAGUACUAUAUAAGCAUUAGAAUUGCGAGCUUAAAGAUUCCUAACACAUGUAACCAGGCCCACCCAUUAAAGUAUAAAAGGCAAUAUUUGCUCUUUCUCUUUAAUAAUACUUAGAAUAUGACAACGGCACACAAUUUAAUUGAUUUGACGCUUCAUCUAUAAUUAGUAGAUUAUGAAAUUUUUUUUUUUUAAAAUAUAUAUAUUGAAACAUACGAGUUAUUUUUUUUUUAUUUUGGGUUUCUUGUGGUUGAGCAACGAUUUGCAGACCGCAGUAUUUAAUUGUGACAGAUUUAAGACUUUAAUUUGAGCUUUCCAGUUUGUACGAGACUACUACAAAAACAAAAAUUCCACGUCGAUCGCAGGUAUCUGAAUUUGAUAUUGUUAUUUUUUUAGUGCCUUGAAAUCCUGAAGAUUUUGUCUCGCUUCAGUCUAGAUAGAAUUUGUAAUUACAUUUAUCGAGAUCCAAAAGGACGACCGAGACAGCAUAAAGCAUUUGUAAAUUGAUCAUCAAAAAGAAAAACAAGAAAAUUUAUCCAUGCUCAGUCGUCUUUAAUUCCCGAGAAUGCACGGGCGCAAUAUAGGCUUUGGAAUUGGACGGCACGGUGAGUUAGGAAAGUGACAAAAGUAAUCUGUUUACUUAGAGGCCAGAAUAAAAUUACUCCGUGUUUUUUUUUCCCCCUGUUUGCUUCCUGGGAGCAACUCCAAUGGCCGUGUAAUUAUGAACUUUACAAUGAUGCUGGUGAAAAAGAGGAGAUAGUGAGUCCCUUUGUGCAACGGAUAAAUUUGGUUAAACAUAGGUAACGGUGAAAAUUUUAUGGUGCAAGUUUACGUUCAAAUUUUUUUUUUCAGCGGUCAUUUUUUUAUUUUCUCUAUAUAAACAUACAAGACACCUUUUUUUUUUUCUUUUUUUCCUAUUUCACUAUCUUACUUUAUUAUUUCACUUAAUCUCUCACUAAUUUUUCUCAACCUCUUUGCACAAUUUUCUAAAAUUUCAAUAUUUUGUAAUUAUGGAUGAUAACUUUAGUAGUUUUUGAAACAUGUUAAAUGUUCCAAAUAUAGAAAAUUCAUCAUCCUCACAAAAUCAAAACCACCAAAUUACCCAAAUUUCAGAAAAUAACAAUUUAUUACUUUUUGAGAGACAGAAAAAGAUAUAUUGUUCAAACUCAGAAAUUAAUACUAAUAUUUUUUAGAAAAUAACAAAAUUAUUUUUAAAAAAUUACUUUAUUCAUUGACAGGAUAUAAGUUGUAUAUUGUUAAAAUAAAUAUUUGAUUUAAUUAUGAACUCGUACUAUUAUACUAUAUGGAGUGUAAUUUAUUAUGAAUGAAAGUAUAAUUAAAAAAAAAGAGUGAUAAUGAAAUACCAACGUAGAUGCCCCAAGAAUCCAUGCUUACGUAGGACAAAGAAACUGGCUCCUGCUGAUUGAUACACGUCGCACCGUCAAUUACCCAAAUGAACAGUAAAAAAAGGAAUAUAUUAUAUAUGUACGUUGAUCAACCAAGAGAGAAAAGCGACACUCAAGACAUGAUUGUCUUUCCCACUAACUCCUCCUCUAUCUUAAUCAUCCAUGAUGGAUGUCUCAACUUUACGGAGUGUUCUUAACCAUAGAUUUUUCUUCUGAACGAGGUCAUGUUUUAUCUUUUGAGUCGCUAUUACUACCGUGAUACAGCUACAUUCGGAGGAUGGAAAGAUUCGUUCUUUUUAGUUUAGUUUCUUAUAAAGCAUGAAUCGCAAUGGUUGCUAAUGGUUUUAAGGAAAAUGAAAAGGAAGAUAUAUACACGAACGAGUUAUUCUUAACCACUCAAAGUUCAUUAGCAAAAUUUAUAAUCUCAGUUUACAGUUUAUUUUAGAGCAAAUUAUCCAGGUAAUUAAUUAAAUUUUAUGAAUAGUCAAAUUUGCCUAUUCAGCUAUUAAUAGUAUAUUUUUAUUCACUAAAUCAUUAACAGUGUAAAUUUUCGGAUCAUUCCGUCUAAUUUUAAAUCUAAUUAUUAAUAAUAUGUCUCAUGAGUCGUACGAACCCUUAGAUCUGGUAGAGAAUUUAUAAUAAAAUCAAAUGAAGUGAUCCAAAAUUCACACUUUUAAUACUUUAGUAGGUAAAAAUAUACUAUUAAUAAUUGAAUGACUAAAUCUUAACUGUUAAAAAAGUUUAGUGCCUACCUCAAUAAUUUGCUUGUUUAUUUUAAUGUAUUUUUUUGUUGGUGUGAACUCUCAUAUCCUAGAAUGGCAUUGCAUCGAUUAAUCACGCUCUUACUAGCGAGAAAAAAAAAAAAAAAAAAGUAAGAGGAGACAAGUGGUAAUAUUUUCUUCCAUCUUAUUCAGCAGUCGGAAAAGAAACGGAAAAUGCUUUCCAAGUGCAUUAAAAAACUUUUUUUUCCCAAGAUUACUUCAGCUUACUAGCCUUUUUUUCGACAAUGGGGAGCAAAAUUUUUAUAAUUGUGGCAUCUCUUGGCAUAUUCCAUUAUCCUUUCUAUUAUUGCAUAAAGAAAUCCCAAUUAUUGGUUUUUAAUUUUUCUUUCCACAUCACAACUCACAAUUAAUCUGUAGGUAUUAUUCCAUUUCCUAAGCACCAUACCAUAAGAUGAAUUACUACCUGGAAAUAUGAUUGGUCGAAUGUGCUUAACGGUAGGCCAGCUGAGAGAUCCACUGUUUGCUUACCGUUUCCAGAAGAAAAGGUUUUUUUUUUCUGGUUAAUCAAGAUUAGAAUGCGAUCAAAUACAAAGGAUUUACAACUAAAUCAUAUUACAAUUAACUCCCAAAUAAUGGUUAAACGCUAAUCUACAAGUCGACUGGAAGAGAAGGGCACCUCGACUCAUUACCGUUAAUUUUUUAUGCAAUGCAAUUGCAAUUGGUGCAAUUGGUGCUGCUGUAGUUUCUCCAAGUUCUAAUGGUAUAUUAAAUUAUCAAACGCAGAACAUAUAAAUAUAAUGAAAUUUUUACCAAAAUCAUUUAUGGAACAAAAACAAUCGCACAAUUAUAUGAAAACCGGAGCCCCGCACUUGCUCCAACCCGCUCCCCGUUCUAAGGUUUUAUGGAAGAGGAGUGAAUCUUCUAGCCACAUAUAUUCAACAUAACGUUAUGGGAUACGUCAAUCUUUCAUAACGGCUGGUCUGCCAUAUCUACGAAAGAUAGUAGCAAGUACUGGUACUAAAUGGCAUCCAUCCUAUAAGGUAUCUAAAAAAACGCACCCUGUCCCGCACUAAAGAUCGAUCACUACUAAAAACGGCAGCGUAUGUCCCACACGAUGAUAACCACCAGCCCGGCCACCACCUAAGUGGGUGGGAUGGGAGGCAAGGGUCACCGAAAAAUGCCACGUCUAAGUGGUUUGUUUCUAUCCAUCUAGUCCGGUGAUGGUUUAAUCCCCUUCGGAUUAUUCCUGGAUCUCUUUAGGUCCGCCCCCUCUCCCUUGGUGUAGAAUAGAAUAGGUUUAUCGUCUCUGAAAAAACAAAAAAAGUAUGUCCCACGAUGAUAAAAUUGAAGCAGGAGACCAAUCCAAAAUAAUCAACCUUCGCAAAAUGGAGUAACUGUUGCAGGAUAACAAACUGACAUCACUUCUGAAUUGAAAGCGUACAUGAAAGCAGCACGCUUCUUUCAUAGUAGGCGGAAGUGUCGCGCUAUUUAUGAUGAGGGGAGCGAUCACGUGGCAUUAUUAUCACGUAAAGGCGGGGGGAGGGGGGGGGGGCGGUUAUCAAAUCAUAAGCUACCAGAAGAAGUAUAUAAGAAAUCUUCUUUGUUUAUUGUAUAUAGUGAUGAUAUGCAUCAGAACCGAUCAUUGCAUAAAAAAUGCAUUCAUUCUUCGACCUACCACUUUCCCAGAAAUCUAUUGGCUAAUGUAAUAAUCACUUGUGUUAAACAAUACAUGAGGGGCUACUGACCAUCCACAGAAGCAAACACCAAAACUGGAGUUUAAAGAGGCCGGCAAAUGACGCAACAUUCAACGAGAGGACAAAGUAGGUUUCAGGUAGAAGAUGUCGAUCCAAAGCAUCUGCUCAGCCGAAACAGACGCAUGAACAUUAUUCAUUCAACUAUUGACUUCACGUCAUCUCUAUUGUAGUUCAUUUUUUUUUUAAAAGCGUGACUAUCAGUACGAAAGAAUUCAUUAGCAUAUAAUGUGAGAGAAGUUCAGGAUGAGACAAAUGAGUGUAUCAACAUCGGAUCCUCCUCUACCAUCCAAGAAAUCAGAUAAGAUAUGCCGUUCCACAUCCACAAUCCAAAUGCCUCAACACUUUUAAUAUUUAAUACAUCUACUGAUUGGCACCCUCUAUAAACAGUUAUGAAAUCAUGAAGCUCUAAAUAUAGAAAAUUAGGUGUAUGAGUGGUCGUGACUCGUAAACCCUAACUUCAUGACACCAUUUUUCAAAGGAAGAUCGUAUGAUGGACGUUUCAGAUCCUACGGCACCCAAAUAUUUCCACCAAGUUCAAAGUCUCUGGCUAAUUUGUGUCUUCAAACAUGCUAUAGUUCCUAAAAUCAUCAUGACAGAUCUGAAAAGUAACCACUUAAGUACAGCAACAAACUUAAAUAUGUCAUCAACGAAAUGAAAAUCACACCACGAUCUACAUCCUUAUCCAUCCUAAUGGAAGACAAAAAAAAUCAUAAACAAAGCUUUCAGUUCGUUUGUACCUGUGAAUUUUGAUGAAUGAAUUCCUUGAAAACAGAUACUCUUACUCCUGGUGAAUCAUGCUUUACUGAAAAAGAAAGAAACAACCACCAAGAAGAAAGAUCCGUAUCUUCUUGGACAGAUAUGAACAAAACAUAGUAGUAAUAGACACACACUGGUAAAGUGAAAUAUUCACAGGUAAGUAGGAUGUCUGUAAGAGCAAACUACAUAAAUAAAUUUUUUUUUUUUUAAAGGAAACUUCAUAUGCUGGGCAUGUUUUCUAAUCCAUUAUGUAAAUCAUUAAGUCUUGUGGUUAGCUCACAAAACCUCUUUGAAACAAGCAAGACAAGUUUUUCUGCUGUGAAAAUUGCUCUUUUGUUUUAACCAAAGGCUUUUCUUUAGAAGUUAGUGAUCAGAAAUAUGAUUCUCUCGAAAGUUCUCAUCAAAUGCUCUAAGACAAGACAUAGAAAGACACAUGCUGAAGUGCAAAAUAAGCAGGCAACUUUAGUUAUUCAUUUAUUUGCGUUGCAUCGCGUGCAAUAAUAUCUUCUAUCUAUGAUUUAUCAUCAACAGCAGUCCCAUUUUCUGACUCCAACAAACAUGUCCUCAAGGGAGAAAUAUUUGUAAGUUAUUUUUUACAGGUUUGAAAGAUAGGACAUAAUUUUCAAAUCAUCUGAUUACAGGACAUGGGUUUUUGACCUGAAAAACUUUCUUCCAAUCAACAGUUAAUAAUUAUACACACAUCAUGCCUUCAACGGUUGUUUCAAGCUUAGUUUUAAUUGUUCAUUUAGUCCGAAUUAACUGGAAGUAUAAUGUAGAACUCAUGAAGCAAAGUUUUAUAUCAGAGCAACACUAAAUGGAGUCGCAGACUACAUUGCUUUAGUUCCACUAUUAUGUGCAACACUAACUGCUCAAUUUUAGCUUUUAAAUAUUGGUUGAAAGGGGAUUCUAAUCUAUGGAACGAGCCUAACAAUGAACAAAAGCUACAAUUUAGACAAGGAAAUAUCUUAAAAUUUUAAAAUUAUGGAGAAUCAUCGAAAAACAGUUGACAAAGAAAUCUGUAUGUACCUUGAUAAUCAUAAAGACAGUGUAUUUUCACCAAAGUCUACUCAUCCACCUCUAGCCACAUAUACUUAAUAAAAGAACGUUAGAUGCCUGUAUCAUAUAGAGUACCUCUGAAGAUAACUUAAGGGCUAUAUAUUUCCAAGAGUCAAGAAACAAUCUCUAAUAUUUAUCCAGGCUAGCAAGAGAACACAUGCACUUUUGGCAAAGUCUUUCCAACUGGCAGACAAGGCACUUCUCAAAGGUACUUCAGAAUUACUAUAAGAUUAAAAACUUGUAGAAUUUCAAAAGGUCCAAAAAAGAUGCUUCCCAUAUUGGAUCAUUAAAAAAUCUCUACACUUUACAGUUCAAGAGGUGAAACGCCAACCAAGGAGUUAAUUAAGCUCAAAGCACAAGUACACUAGAUCCAUAAACCUUUCAUGUGCAGACAACGACAGUUUUUUUAACACUCAAUCAAGUACUUCAGAAAGUGGACACAAGUACUUACAAAAAUAUGUUUAUAUGUCUGUUUGCGUAUUAAAUAAGUAUAUAAAUACAUGACAUUGCUUCUUAUGCUUCCAAUUUUCAAAGAAUGACAGGUGGUAGUAAUUUUGACUUGGCAACUGUAUUUCAUAGGUGGACAAAGAUGUCCCUAUUUAGGAAUGGAUGAUGCUUCAAUCAAAGACAACUACCCAUAAUGUGAACUAGAGUAUAUUUCUCUGCCUUGACACAAAAAUUGAUGCUUCAAUAAGAUUCUUUAGACCUAACUGAAACAAUCAAGAUCUCUAAUGAAACCAACAAAAAUAGUCUUUCUAAAACAAUUGAAACGGUUCUCUGCAGUGUAGCGGCUAGUCACGAAAAGAGAGCAGUAUAGACCAAAGUGAGGAUAAGUAUAAGCUACAUGUAAUGAACCAAGAAACAAAGAAAUGGGCAAGGCCUUGUGUUUGCUAUUCAGAAAAUGCAGAUUAGUGCACAAAUCGGAAACCAAAACACACGUGAGGCCAGGCCAACCAUAUGUCUAGAUAAUCUUCAUUGAUAGUCAUCUAUUAAAUGCAAGUUGAUAUAUAAUUUUCCUCAAACAAAAUGAGCUAUAACUCAGACACGAAAAUUCUUACCUGCCAAGGAAAGAGAAAAUAAAGGUUGGUUUGAACCAAGUAAACAAGAAAAAAUAUUGCAUGUUGCAAACAACUUGCACAGGGAAAGAGCUAGACCUGCCUCGUGAAAAAUCAAAGGGUUUCUUGCCUUAGUGUACCUUGCUUCCUUGACAAACACAAUUACACCAAGGAAAGAACUAAAGAAGAGAUGAAACAAAGUGAAAAGGAUGAGAUUAUAUUCAAGAUCAUGUGGGCAACAAUAAAGUAGAGUACAGAAUUAUGGUAAAACGCAAUAUGAAUAGAGUGUACCUCAAUCAAGCUUGCUUUAUAUCAGAAUAUUGUACUAGAAACAGCAUCAGUUUCUGUGUGCAUGAAGUAAUGAGAACUAUUAGCAAGCAUAAAUAAUGAUAUUAAUCUCUACAAUUGGAGUAUCAUUCUGCAGUCUUCUGGAAGCUCAAUAUGACAAAACAAAGAGUUUAACAUAAGAAAAUGCCAAAACAAUAUAACAAGGUUUGCUACUUAAUAUGCCCAUCCCCUGCCAGAAUAUGCUUUUGAAUUGCGGUAUCUAGUUUAAGGUAAUUAACAACGUAAUAGAACAAUAGACAGUGAAUCUUGCUUCUUCAUUUCUUAGCUAAGUAAGCACAUAAUAAAGCUAAAAAAAAAACAACUUAGAAGGACUUCAAGAUUUUAAUAGUUAAGUUGCAAGAUAAGCUAAAAUGCACAAACUAGUUGCUGUAUUCUUAAAGAUAAGAAAAUGCAAUCCUCGACACACUGCAUACAAGAAAUGUGAACGAUUGAUAACUUAUGGCAGUGGCAUGUACGCUAAUUACUGACUUCAAAACUUUUAAGCUUUUGAUCCUCACUAACAAGCUAUGAAGUGUAAUCAAGAAAAACGUAGUUUUCAAUAAGAUUUCAGGCAUUGACCCUUAACAUGAAAUGUCCAGUAUUUAAGGGCACUCAUGUUCCCCUAAACAUUCAAAACUUACAGAAAAGUGCAAUUUUGCUUCUUAGAUUUACAGCCAAUAAAUAAAGACAAAAACAAAAUGGUUAUCCACACAUUCAAAUAGCAAGAAUCCAAAAUACAAAAGCAUAGAGACACAUAAAUCCACCUGAACAAGCACAAAAAAUUGGAAAGAAAGGAAAAACUAACAGUAUGACUCUCCAUGGGGGCAGCUGCAUAGGCGUCAUUGCCAUAUUUCUCCUUAAUUCAGUACAAAAUGUGAAUAAACUAAACUCCAAUGGAAACAUUAAAAUAGCAAAUUAAUUAUUCUACGCUUGAGAUAAAUCUAAAUACAAUAAAUCUGAAUUAAAAUAGCCCAUUUAAGAUAAAUCUGAAUUGUAGCUCAGAUAGAUCGUAAUUGCUGUUUCAAACCCUUUCAAUGAAGAAAUACAAUUUUUCAUGGAUAGUUUUUAGUGUACCAGGUAUAUAUCGAAAGCUUGAAAACAGAAUUAGCAAAAGAGACUCCAACAUUUGUAAAUGAUGCAUUCUUUUUUUAUUUUUUGGCCAGGAAAAUAAAACUCGUUUUAUUUAUGAAUAUAAGAAAACAUAUCUAACAAUUAGAAUUUACCACUCAGUAAUAAAAAAGCUACAAUAGCUAAAACACAGGCUAUUCCAGGAAAUCAGAUCUAACUAUACAAAUUCUGCAGACAAAUUUAACAAAUCUCUCUCAUUAAUCAAAUAAUUCCAGCUCAACAACUUCAGAUGCCAUUUUCAAAUUGUUUAUACAUACGUAUAAAAGAUAAAAACAAAUAAACUAAGAAAAAACACAGUAAAACUAAUACACCAGGACGUUGUACACACAAAAAAAAAAAAAAAAAACCCCCCGAAGAUCGCGGUUUCCUGAGUACUUUGAAUAAAAUGUUUAAUACUUGAAAGAAAGAUAUCAGAAUACAUUUAGCCCAUUAAUGUGUACAAAAUAUAAUGACUAAUAUCAAGAAUUAUAGGAAUGAUUGAGUGCGGAAUACUUAGUAGUACGAGCAUGGGCAGAAUAUUUUGAGUGCAGAAUUAUGACGGCAACAGCGUUCAAGAAUACUUUGUAAUCGAGAAGAAGUUGACAAUAAUGCUGGUUUAACAUUAAUGGUGAUGAAAAUUGAAAACCAAACCUUGCCCUUGACUCCUUGUCUCUUCGGAAACCAAUCUGUUCCUCUCCCAGUCCCACUGCAAGCGAAUGAAGCAGAGAGUGGCGCUUCUUUCAAGUUGUUCUGCUUCUGCGAAAUAAAACAGUAGACACGCACGAGUGGCAAGUACGUUUUCGGCCUUCGGGGUCCACCAAGGCAAUGUCCGUCCGUGCUUUGUGUUUCAGGAAGAGAAAACACAAACAAAUAAGUAAUAAAUAAAACAAAUUAUUUUGUGUUUUUUUUUUUUUUGCUUUUAACAAAUGAAGUAUAAUGGUUUAAUUCUUUGUGUAUCUUGACAAUUGCAAGCUCGGAUGUAUACACGUAAUCUUGAUCCAUAAUCAGAUUUUUUUUUUGGAUAAAUUGGGUUUUAAAAUUGGACAGAGAAUGUAAUUGAAAGGUUUUAAAAUUCAAUUCCAACCACUUAUACUUAAAAAAAAAAAAAAGGCCAUUUGGAUUUAAAAAAAAAAAAAUCCUUUAGGUUCAUUGUUUAAACUUACUCCAUAGAUAGAUAGAUGAUAUCAAAAUAUUAAGUGAGAGCUUCAGCUUAUGACACGUAAGUCCAAUGUCUAGUUCGUUUUUUUUAUUGUACUUUUUUUUCUGGAUGGAAAAAUAUAAAAAAUUGCAAGAUUUUUUUUUUCCUGUGCCUUUUAAAUCUUUUCCCAUUUGAAAUAGCCUAAGAAACUACAUAAUAUUUACCGGUAAGUCUUGGUUUGAGAUGUCAACAUCGACUACUGGGAAGGAGAAACAAAAAACAAAAAACAAAAAACAAAAAAAAAGUCUUUGCUUUAACACACAUUUUUAAAGGGGUAAUUAAAAUUUUAAUCCCCUAACUAUUGAUUCAAUUCCAAUCUGAUUUCUUAUAUACUUGAGAGAACAUAAAAUUUCCCCCGCCUUAUAAAUUAUUUAUUCCUCUUCGCUACCUACAAAUAUCCUAGUUUGUAUUCAAAUGUCAUGAAUAUUGUUUGUUUGGGAUUUUUUUUUUUGUUUCGUAAUUUUAUUCCUGUGGUUUUUUUUUUUAAAAAAAAAAAAUCUGUCAAAUUAAUUGAUCUCGAGUUACUGCCAUAUGAUUGGUUAUUGGGCCUUUCGAGUCCUUCACUGAAAGUUGGUGUUAACUUGACAACAGGCCUGGCACCAAAUGGGGCUGUUAAACUAACCAGUUGACGGGCCUCUUUCUUUUGGAAUACUUGAAUGUUCCUUCAUUUAGUACACCUGGAAACCAUUAACUAUUAAAAAAAAUUUUAAAAAUCAGACUUACGAGAGAUAUUUGGACAGCUGAUUAUUUUCCCAAAUAUAUUUGCUUACAUCAUCAUUACAAUUUUCAAUACAUCUUUUGAUCUUCCCAAUUACCUUUUUAUCUCACAUACAUCACAUCACAAAAAAUGUUACAGUAAAAAUAUCUCAAAUAACUUACAAUCCAAACAAACCAAGUGUGUGCCGUUAACCGCUUGUGUUCGAGACUUUGAUUUUUAUUCAUAUAGUUUCCUUGUCCUUUAUAGUUGGGUUAUUAUCACUUUAUCCCUUUGAACUAUAUCAUUAUUAUCAAUUUACCUCCUAAUAUUAUAUUUUAGUCACACUACUAUCAGUUUUACCCCUUAAUGUUAUAUUUUGUGACAGUCACACCAACUUUGUCACUACUAUCAAUUUAUUCCCUAAUGUUAUAUUUUAAUCACAUCAAACGUUAAGUGAUAAUAACCCUUUAUAGUUUUAUUGUGAUUGCAAAUUUGAGUGAUUUAUAUAGUUUUUUUUUUAAAAUUAAUCUUCAUUACAUUGACAAUGUAUAUAUUGUCGUGUUCAAAUGAAUGCCGCAUAUAUUGAUUUGAAUUUCAAAUCUAAAUUUUACUUAUGUGAUAUUCAUCUAACUAUGAUAGUGUAUGCAUUGUCAGUAUACAUAAAAUUUACUUUCUUUUUUUUUAAGAAAAAAAUAUGUACUCGUUAUCACCUAAUCCCACUCCCACCAGCAUAUAUAGGAACAUGAAAAGCAAGAUAUAAGUGCUCCAUUAGGCAUUAAAAAAAAAAAAAAAAAAGAUAGACAGCAGGCCACUCUUUCUGAAGUUGGGAGAGUAAAAUCGUAGUAUGAAAUAUGCUCCACGUAAUAAUUUGGGCAAGUUUUGUGCAAUUUUGGUUUUCUACGUGUUCUUUGGGUUUCUCGGUUUGAUCAGUUGUAGCUUGAGCACGACUCUCAACAACAAUAAACAAUUUUUACAAGCCACUGCAAGGACACGUACAUUUUUUUGUAAGCACGAUGACACAUAUAAAAUCCAAAUGAAAUUUUUUGUUCUCUCCUUAUUUAUUGCAUUAAAUUGAUCGUCCAAGAAUAUGCAGACCAACAAAUUUUCAGUGCUAGAAAAAGAUACAAUUUCCAAAAUUAGAAAAGAAGUGGUAACUAGUGACCCAAAAAGAAAAAGAAACGAAGGAAAAAAGUCACACCACGACAUUUCAUGACUAAUACUAAUGACUAAAAAGUGGUAGCUAGCAAAUUUGCUGAAGAGUAGGUUUCAAAGCCAUAGAUACAGCAUGCCACCCUGCCUGUGUUGGGUGCACCCCAUCCCAGAAGAAUGCAGACUUUGCAUCGUUGCACACCGUGUACAUUUUCCUUCCUUUAUCGUCCACGCUUCCACACGAAUAUGCAGUGCUUAGUCCCAUACAACAAGGCUUCAGAGGAGUUUCAAACUUCAAAGUUCCUGCAGUAAUCGACAAGCAGCAGCAUGACUUGAAGAAUCAAUUAAUUGCUACAUCUCAUCAGAUGAACAUUUGAGUAAAAAUGAAGUUGUGAGAUUACCUGAUACAUCUCCUUUGUUCUCUAGUAAGGUUGUGAAGGUGGUAUAAAGAUCAAGAACGUGGCACGCAGAAUCCCUACUCUCGUUAUUCAAUUUCGACACAGCUUGGUUCAAUAGUAGAUUGUGAAAAUUGACGGCUGUGUUCUGCGUGACGUUGCAUUGUUGGAAUGACGAGAGAACUGUGCUUCGAGGGAGACAGCCAAGGGGCUCCAAAGCUGCCACAGCUAUCCUCCUGGCUCCCAAUCCAUGAAGGCGUUUCAAGUUCACGGCAAGCUGGGAAAUCAAGCUUGUAGUGAAGGCAGGCAAACCCUGUACGUUUAAGGGAAGAUACAUUAGUUCAAACACUAAAUUAUUGUCCUACCACUCGAUCAAAUUGGAAAGUAAGAAUCAGAACUACAAGCCAGGGACAAUUCCUUUACGCGAGUUCGUGUUUCCUGAAACUCCAUUCUAACUUUUUAUAUUAUGUGAAGGAAAGUGGAGUAUGAAAACAGUAGUAUUAAGAGUUCUCAUUCUAACUGACUGCCAACUUUUGGACGACAAGUCCCUUAAAUUAAAUAAUACUACAACUAGGGUAACAUGGUGAGAGAUGAAAUGAAAUAUACAAUAGAAACAAUUUACCCUCCCGUAGUUUUAUGUUCUUUCUUUCUAUUUUGUAUGUUUUUUUGCCUUGUAAUGUACUCCAGAAAACCUCAAUGAAUUUAAAAGAGAUGGAUACUCAAUAAAGUAGGCAGAUGGUAAGUUCACCUUUGCAGUGCCACCUUUGGCAUUGUAAGCACCAUAAUCAUUGCCAGCAACAGUGACCAGAAACAAAGAUGAGUCCAAGUCAGUUUUGUUAUAAACUAAAUCCUUGAGAAGUUUCUCAAAGAAAUCAAUCUGAGUGGUCAUGUUAGGCUCCAAAACCAGAGUGUCAAAGACGCCAGUCCCUCCAUAAGCAAAGUUCACUCCAUACCGCAACCGGUUUCCUGCAUACUUGAUCCAUCUAUACGCUACUGGGGACUUCAUUCCGUAGAAUUUAGCUGUUCACAUCAAUUUCGUUUACAAGAAAGGUCAAUUUGCCUGUCAUGCAAAUUUAUCCUAAUCUAGUUAUGCUAAGAGGAAGUGAAAAUAACAUGCACAGUCAGUUCCUUCUUUUACUUUCCCCUUCGUUUGAUAGUAGUAAUUAAAUAUAGGAGAAAUGGUAUUUAUACACCGCUUUAGUUUUUUCAUUCCACAUCUUUAGAGUAAAAGUAGUUUGCUAAGAAUAAAAAAAGUGAAAAUGGUGUUCAAGAUUAAAAAAAAAGGCAGCGCAAAUAUCAUUUCCCUAAAUCUUUACUAGCUUAUGAUUGAACCACCACUAGAAUCGCAAGUAAAGCAUUACAUAUUUCACUUGGUGCAUGACACCAUUACUUGAAGUUCAUUUAGAUAUCAGUGCCAAAGUUAGGGUACCGCGCUAACAAACUAGAUGUCUUUUAUCUCUUAGUCGUUACGCUAUGUAAGUUGGGUUUGGCUAACGUUAAAAUAGCUUUAAGUGUUAAUUUUUUAGGUAAGAAUGAAAUUAAUUAGAAAAAUAUCUAAAUGUAAGGAAGCAAUAAUUAUGAAUGUGUGUAUUCAUAUAGUAAAUUAAAUGCGAUCCAGACGUUUUAACAAACGUUCCGAAAACACAAUUUGAAAAACAAAUGUUGUGCAAAAUGAUAUUACACCGCAAGCAAGCAUGGAAAGGGAUGAAGGUUUGGAUUUUAUAGCGAAAGGAGGAUUCGGACAAUCAUGCAAGUGGGAAAAGGCUAAUCAAGAUUAGGACAGAUUUGGACGAGUCAUUGAAGCACUAAAAUUGGUUAGUGUUAUUUUAUGAGCAUAAGCAUCCUAGGUGUCUCCCUUCCUAGCUAGCUCCCUAACAACAACAAAAAAAUUAUAUCCACAACAAAUGAAAAUGCGCCAAACACGACUAGACGGGCAGCUAAACCUGCCAGAUUUUAACGAGAAAGAGAGAAAAAAGAAAAUCAUGGCCAUAAUGGAUUUUUUUUCCCCUUAUCUUUAAAAGUAAUAAGAUCAUGUGAGAAAGUAAAGGUGAGAUAGUGAGAUAAAGAAAGAUGGGAGAUACUAAGCUGACAAAAGGGAAAAGACAGGAGUCAACAAUGCAAUAUUUACAGACACAAAAGAAGAAAACAUUAGACAAUCUGAUAACCUCUAGUUCAAUAAUGAAGGAAAGCAAGAUAGGGACGGGGGAGGGGGGGCAGGGCUGACUGCUGAGGGCAUCACCAGUCAGUUGUCACAACCAACCCACUAUGGUGAUCAUUUAGUAGUACAAAGGUGAUGCAAAAAGUAAGCUUGCAGUUGUUUAUGCUCCAAAAAAGAGAAAGCGAAAGAUAAAGUGCGGCAGAAUGAUGACAGAGCCCAUUCCAGACCAUGCUAUGGUACAACUGUAAAAUACUCCAUGAUAAUAGUAAUUCUCGAGCCAGGCAAAGGAAACAUAAACCAUGUGCACUUGAGCGGUAAAAAGAGAAAGAGAAAAGGCAGAAGCUGAAGCGUUACCAACGUAAUCAGUAAGGACACGACCAUCCGAGAAGCGGCCAGCGGGCUUCCCUGGAAAAGUGAUUCCAUAUGGUUCCUUCCACGAACUUCCUACAGACUUUUGAACAUUUCCAGUGUCGGCGUACGAGUCUCCGAACACAAAUAGCUUUGUGGGUCGGAAACCAUAUCGCUGCUUCUUGUGGUGGUGGUGACGGCGAUCAUGAUGAGGUGAUGAAGCAUGGACACCGGCAUUCCCUGAGGAAGAAAGAAAAAAAAGGUGGUGUUCAUCCAUGCUAGCUCGUAAAAUUACAGAGAGAAAAUUCAAACACCUGCAUUAAUCAUCAUUUCUCAGGCCUAGUUACAUCGUGUAAAAUUAACAUGGCACGGAAAGCAUGCAUGGAGAGCAUGAGAUGAUGAGUAUAUUACUAGUACAAGUUCAUUGUUGUCCAUUAAUUAUCAAGAAGGCUGCUACUAGUGGGAUUUUGGAUACAGCAAAGAGCUGACACUAAAUUGGAGAUUCUAAAGCUAUUUAUUGCAAAUUAACCGAGGAUAUGAUAUGGGGAGAGGGAAAUAUGAUAGUACUAUAAUCGUAUUUUGUACCACGUACCUGCUGCAAGAAUUGAGAAAAGGAAGAAAAAAGAGCAGAGGAGCAACUUCGGGAGGUCCAUCCUCAGAUUCAGAAAGAUUGAAUAGGCGGUCCUCAUAACGCAAGGGGCGACAGGGGUACGCUUAGUUUAGAGAUGGGAAUUGGAAUAAAUCGCAAUUGGAAGUUUGAACUGCGAUUGUGCUUUCGGGUCCUUUAAAUAAUACUGAUGAAAUGGAGAAACACACCACGCGAGAAGAGGAGAAUGAGCCAGCAAUGAGGGAGUGAAGAUUUGAACAACUCUCAUGGUCAAUAUGGCCCGAUAUUGGGGUCCACUGCAGUGUCUUGUCAAUUUUAUUUUAUGUUUUUUUGUUGUGUUCUUCGUUUUUUUUCACCCCGAUUCUGUACUGGGAAAAUGGACCACGGUGCAGAUUUGACCUAUAGCUUGUUGGGUAGAAAUCUUUGCCGUCCGGUGAAUGAUACUAACGUAAUGGUGAAUUGAAGUCGGGAAAAUGCUUGGAAAAUAACUUCUCUAUUCUCCUUUUAAAAAAUUUUUGUUUUGAACGGAUAACUUGUCUGUUCAAGUAACAACAACAUUUUGGGUCAACCUUCUCCAAUUAGUCUACAUCUGGAAGGUGUUUUCGCUUUUUUUAAUGUUGUUUGCGUGCAUGUGAUUUUGCUUCUGUUCAGACUAUUAAAGAGGUAGUCGGAACGUGUAAGAAUGUAGAAUGUGAGAAGAGGUCAGAAAUUUUUUUGCUGCAGGUGCCGUAUACUGCUGAUAAAAUCAGGCGUCUUCUGUAUUAUACCUUCAAGAAUACCAGUUGAGGCCAACAAUAUUCUAUUCCAGAGGAGGAGACGAUGACCAAAGGACUAGGAAAGGUUCAAAGUAGAAGAAGAGGUGAAAAUUUAAAUAAAUUAAAAAAAAAGGGAUGGCCAUCAGACUCUUUGAUUGAUUUUGCCUUUGACCCAAAGGAAGAAAGACAAAAUAGAAACAAUCAGCACAUUUUUUUUUUUUCGGUUUUUUUGGUCGGAGGCCAAGAGCGUGAAUUAUUAGUCGAGUAAUUGUUUUUGGGUUGUAAUGUUAAGGCGGUUAAUGAUGCGUUUGAUCAAACUAAAAUUUGAAAAUUGAAGUCUGAAAUUUGAAUCAUUAAAUUGUUGAAUUCUUAAGUAAUAAAUUUGAUACAUUUAAUUGUAUAUGAUAUUAAUUGAUAUAUAAAUAGUUUAUCAUUCAUUUUUUGGAAGCAAAUUUUAUUUACAAAAUUCAGUGCCACUUAAUUAAUUCAAAUGCUUAAUUUUGAGUUAUCAAACGCAUCUAAACAACCUAUUAAGAUAUGAAUUCAUGGACCCAUUAAAUUUAAUUGCUAAAUGGGAUUAUCAAACAUGACCUAAGAGGGAAGAAAAAUGGAGAAGAUUCAGUGGCCCAAUGCAAUUAAACAAUUAAGUAAGACAGGUCUCCAAUCCGAGUCAAAUGCAGGGGGCGAGCUGCCUGGAGAAACAACACUUCCUUCAAUAAUAAUAUUUCAGAAAGUGUUACUAAUAAUCAAUUCCGAACGUAUUUCUGGUAAUUUACAGCGAAACGAUGGAGGAGGCCUCUAAUCCAAAAGCCUGAAAUGGCACCCUUCGAAAGUUUAAAUCUCCUGUUUUUAUUGGCAAGCUUCAACACAUAACCACUUGUACGGUUUUAAGUAAAUCUGCUAUAUUUUGGUGUGAAGACAGUCGUAUGUAAAAACACGUGGUUGUUUCUUUAAGGCCUUGUUUGCUAAAAAAAGGUUUUGGCUCAGUUUGUCUGUUAUAAAUUUUUUAACAAUUAUAAUUACAGUAAUCUCAAAAAAUUUCUCAAAAAUUUUAAACUUUACACUUCAAAAUAUCCAAAAAAAUUUUCUACAACUUCUACAUUAAGUUACAGUAAAAUUUUAGACAAAUAUCUAAAAAGCUCGCUUAUCAGACGAGGCUAAAUUUGUUUCAUAAUAAUUGACUCUUCUCCCUAUUACUCGUUCCAAAUUCGUACCUUUGUGCGCGCGCGCGUGCACGCGUAAAUGGGUAGUACAUGCCCAUCCCAUCAUGGCAGAACCAAUUUUAUGCUACUGACGACAUAAAAAAAGAAAAAAAAAUAUAUCCAUCUUAAUUGUGCAUAAGAAAGAAUAAGAAAUUAUUUAAAAGUAUUUUUUUAUUUUGGGUGAUAAAUUCAAGAAGAACAACAAAUGUUAAGUCUUUGCAUGCAUGUGAGAAAUUUUAUGCGUUAAAAGGCGCUCGUCUGGAAGCACAUACCGGCGUACUAAUGAAAUUCUAAAUGAUCCCAACUGCGAAUUGUAAGCUGAGAAGCAGGGGCAAAGAUGCAGAGGCUUAUUUGUUAGGGCUUUAAAGAAGGUAGUGUAUGCCCAGUUCUUAGUUUUAGGCCCACUCCAUCACUGGCGAAUAUUUUGCCACUUUGGACACAUUGGGCCCAACAGAGAGAGCGAGAGAUGGUCUGGGCUCGCGGCACCUAACUUUGAGUUCGAUUUUCAAACCCUCAUCCUACCUUUUAAGCAGAUUGGGUGUGGAUUGUAGAAGAAACAACUUACCAUGUUGACAAGUAAUACUAGAUUGUUAAGAAUACAAGUAGACGUCACCUAAUUGUGCGGCAUAUAAGCUUGACCUUCCGCUUAUUAAUUGAUGCGCGUAUAAUUCAUCGAAACAUUUAUAUAGUUUUCCCUUCUUAAAUGUUGUUGUUGGACGAAGUUCGUACUCAUUUUUCGUAGCCAUUUUGUUGACAAUAUUAAUGAACUCAAGCCAGUUGUUACUUAUAAUGGCUCCAUACUUUGUAUUCGAGCGGAAAAAAUUUUUUUUUUUUCUCCCACAUUAGCUUUCUUGUUUUUGUUUUACCCUGAGAAGCAGGAAUUUUCAUGAUAAACUAAAUUUGUUCUUGACUACGAUUUCCCUUAUGUUCCAACAAAGGAGCGUUUAACUUAAAAUAAAUAUUGCAACAAGGGGAAGAAAAAAACCAGUUUAAAAACAAGUGCAUAUAACAGUUGAAAUCAAUCUGAGUCUGUCACUCCAUUCCCCCCCCCCCCCUUCUUUUAUAGUGUAAGUAGGUGAAAGAAGAGCUCGUUACUCUGUCUCACUAUGUCUAUUGAUCCUUCGUUUUACUGCAAAAGCUUGAUGGACAAUACCGUAAAACACAGUACAAGUUUGAACCUAUUCCCGAGAAAUUAUGGCUUCCCGCGAGAAAGAAGCAGAAAGUUGAAAAUGAUGAAAUAGUAACAUCCAAUUGCAUAUUUCAUCAUAGAAACUAGCAAGACAAGCUGCCACAGGCCGUGGUUCACGCACAAUCAAAAUAAUGUAUUGCCUGAAAAAGAAAAACAGAGGAGGGAGGGCCAUGGGGCUAUCGGCAUUGAACCUCGACAUCCGGUUCAACAAAACAGAAGAGCAACAAGCAUACGAGCUUAAGAAUAAAUUAAAAGGAGAAACAUCUACAUAUUUGUGAAAGGGGUGAUCUUGAUGACUAACCCAGGGAAAACAUCAUCUGGAUCAUGAAUAUGGGGAUUCUGCUCAACGAUGUAAGGAUCCCCACAUUUUUCACUGAUGGUAUGCAGAGUCUCUCCUUCGCGUACCACAUAAAUCUCAUCACACGGCUGUUCAAGUAGUAAUGAGGAUAAUAUUUGCUGCUUCUGCUGUUGCACUUCAAACUGCUCCUCAGUUGAUUCACAGCAGCUUAACACCAACAUUAAAGCCAGGAACAAGGCACAGUACCAGGACACAGUCUCUGCUAGAGCUGUCGAUGGAUGGAUGCGGCCUGACAUGUUAUGCUUUAAAUUCAACUCUUCCUCGAAUUCGCAGCGACGAUUGUUCCCUCUCUCUCUCUCUCUAUAGCAAGUAUGUGCAUGCACAUGUACCGAAAAAUUGUCUCGAGUGGAGGAGAGUAUUUGCAGGACUCUUAGUAUUGAGGAUUAGGAGGAGUUAAUGUUGUUGUUGCGAAGUAAGCUAAAGAGAUGAUGAUGUUUGAUUUGACAUGGUGGUCGUUUUGGAGUACAAGUGCAGGUCAUUGGAGUGGUUAAGCAGCAGUGUUCCUGCUGGAGGGAGAGGAUUGAGACGGGUUCGUUUCUUGGGGGGUGGUAGGUAACUGUCUCAAGUGAAGAAAUAUUGGAACAUAUAAAAUGAGGGAGGGAAAGUUGGUUUAACUGCUUUAUUAAAUGGUAGUGAAGACUUGAGAUAUCUCUUGAUCAUAGCUGAUAAAGCAAUCAUUCAACAUUUUUUACUUGCUCUCAAGUCUCAAGUCUCAACCAACCUUUUUUUAGGUUUGUUUCCGUGGCUGGUACUACAUAUGGAGCAGUAGUAUAUGCCCCAAUCUUUACUCCUAUACUAUAAGGCUAUAACCCAUUUGCUUUGAAUGUCAAUUGUGGGCAUAUUUCGAUGGAGUUGUAAAGAAGGAUGAAGAGCCAUUCAACGCAUUACCUGCAACAAUUAGCCAUACCUUCUGUGUUUACAGAUAUCAGUAAACUGUUUAUAUCAGAUUCUUUGUGUGCGCACAGGAAAUACUAUUAAAACUGUCAAAUACUUAUGUAAUUAAGGAACGUAAAACAUUUUUUUUUUGUUGGAUUAAUCUUAAAUACACUAUCACCAUUAGAUAUAUGACACAUGCGCAAAAUUUGAAUUUGAAAUUUAAAAUUUAUUCAAGUGUCAUCCAUCCAACCAUGAUAGUAUAUACACUGACAGUGUAUAUAAAAUUUGCUUUUUUUUUUUUUUUUUAUGGAGGAAGAACCACACGGGUGCAUGACUUGCAAAACCGGUUUCUUGAUAAUUAUGAGAAGGAGGACUGAUCAGGAUUGGAUGCCAAAAGAGUGAAGGAAAUGUUGCCCCUAAUUUCAACUUUUUGUUGCUGGAAUUACAAGUUAGAAAAUUGGAGGAGUCAAGUCAUAAUAUACUCAUUAGUAGAGAAUAGAGGGGUGUGUGUGUGUGUGUGUGUGAGAGAGAGAGAGAGAGAGAGAGAGAGAGAGAGAUAAGAGUCCUUUAACGAUGCGUUUUGGUAGCAUGCCAGCUUAGUUAGUAUAGUGAGAUGGGAGUAGUAUUUGGUCAUUCGCAGGUCAAUAAUCAAUUUUCAGUUUCACCCAACAAAAGCAGUGAGCAGGUGAUUGGGUUUUUCUUUGGUUGGAGGGGGGUUUUGGGGGGGGAGUCCUGAAUUUGACGUUUAUGAAUCAGAAUUGAGGUGUGGGGGACAAUGCUCGUCCUCCUUUAAACGCCAAGAAUUGGUCAUCAAGUCUAAUAGAGUAUUUAAGUACUGCUCUGGCAACGGAAUACCUAAAUCGCGCAGUAUUAUUAUGCCGCUAAUAAUACGCUAAUGUCACAUUUGACACAGACAAAGGUGUUUUAUCACACUCCAAACAUUGGAGCAUUUUUUUUUUUUUUUUUUAUGUUUGGUAAUUAAAGAAGGUUAUUUUAUAGUAGUAACAACAACGGAGCCGCAUUAUAUGGUUGACUUUUCAAUUCACAGCUUUUUUCUGUGAUGGCGAACCUUUGGCUUGAUGAUGAUGAAGAUGCGACUGCAGAACGACUGCUGGAUGCUGAGCAGGAAUUCUUUGAUUAAUCCAAUAUUGUCAUUUGCCAAAUUGUCACACUCAAAUCUAUCUUGUGAGAGACCGCUGGUUUAACUUCAGAAUUCAUAUUCGGAUUUUGACAUACCAACGGAUAUUCCAAAAUCUCGCUUCGUAUUUAAUAAUUCAAUUUAGUACUUAAAUUUAAUGAAUUUAAAUCUUAAUAUGUUACAUUGAACUAAAAAAAUUAAAAUAUUUAAAUUAAUUAGAUCACACUGAAUAUUCUAAAUAAAACUUGUAUCAAAAUAUAAGUAAUAAACUCUUCGCUAAUGAUAUACAUUGAAAUGUAUCGAAUUUAGUAUUUAUCAAAUUAAUAACUUAAUAAACUCAAUUUUUAAAUUUUAAAUUUUAAUUUUACCAAAUGCACCCUAACUCUAAUGCAUAUAUACUAAGUUGGUAUUUAACUCGAAGCACACUUUACACAACUCCGUUGAAUCCAUCAUAAAUAUAUUUUUUAAUCAUAUUUAUACCCCACACGCGUCACAUAAAUUGCUAUAGUAUUACUCUAGAUACUUUUUUCCAAUAACCCCCUAUCUAGCCCCAUUUUUGGUGUUGUCGCAUACCAAUGUGAAUGAUUAUAGACCAUUAAGUCUGGUUUCCCAUUUUCCUUUUACUUUCAAAGUAUUUUAAUUUCUCAUCCUCCAAAAUUUCUUGAAUUUUGCACACAUGUUAAAUUUAAUCCUCCUCCCUAGUAACUUAAUUAUGCCACAAGUAGUACAUCUCAACAGGAAUGGGAAAAAAAAAUUAAAAAAAAACCAUCCAUUUCAAGUGCCACCAAUCCGCAAUUGCAUAGUAUUUUAAGUUAACAUAUUCCGGAUAAAUUAUCCUUUAUUACGUCAUCAAAUGAACAUGUAUCAGGUGUAAAUAAAUCAAAGAUAAUGAGCAGCAUAAGUCCACCAUUGCCCUAUCUUCAACAGAGAAGUACCCAAUUGCCGCAGAGAGAGGCAGCGAUUAACCAUCCAUAAUGGAGUUUCAUGACCGGUCCAAAGGCAAUGUUUAUGGUCAAGGUUUCAUCAAGCUUUUCAUGACAUAGUUUAGCACUUCAUCCGCAUCAACAGUCCAUGCUACAGAAAUAGGUGAAUGGCCUGUCCAUGGGUUGCUUGAAUUCCAUCUGUAUCAGAGUAUUGAAGUUAAUUAAACAAGAACCUACGACCCAAAAAAAAAAAAAAAAGCACCUGAGAAGUGCAAAGCAAGCAAGGUAAAGCUUACUUUUUCAGCCCUUGGUCCAUCAGGGUAUGCCCCGCGCUGAUACCCUGUGUCUCAACCCUCACAACCCCCUUCUUGUAUGUGAAGAGAUCAGGCCGGACUAGAGCUACAAAACUGACAGGGUCGUGAAGAAAAAUUCCUGCGCAGGCCGGUAUUAACCAUUAAUAUGUGAACCAUCAAAAAGAGAAGAUCUAAAAAGAAUUUGAAAAUAAGGCAGGUCAAUGACAAAUUGAAACUAGCGUUGCAAGCAGCCAAAUUACCAUAGACACCGUCAGAUUUGACAUGCCAGUCACGGUAGAAUUUGCAAAUGUCACACACAAAUUGAGCAUGUUUUCCAUGAGAUUGUCUUAGUUCAUCAAAGGCAGCAUCUGAAGUUCACAAGACAACAAUUAUGAGAGAGUAACUUCCAAUGAAAAGAUUCCGGUGGGAAAAUAGGCAAGUGGUAAAUAGAAAGGGAAGAAAAACCUGUCAUUUUGACUUGUGUUGUGAUAUUUAUGCCAACAACAUCAACAUUUGCCCCAGAAGUAAACACAACAUCUGCUGCUUCAGGAUCACAAUAAAUCUGCCAGUCAAAAGCUUGAACACAUUAUUUGACUGACUGGAAAUUGAAAGACUGCCAAUGCAAGUAUAGAUACUUCGCCAGGGUAUUCAGAUACUUUAUCAACCAAAAAUUCAGAUGCACUUUUCUCAAUCUUCUUAGAUUUUGGAGGAGGUAAAAAUAUGUUGCCAAGUCCAUCUGAACCAUGAACAAAGUCUGCGAUGCAUGGUUCCCCCCCCUAAAGGAAAGAGCAUAAGCAGGAUGUAUCAAAUACACCACUCAAGCUGAAAACUGAACAAGCAUACUUAACACUGAAUAAUUUUUUUCUAGUUGACAGCGAAUGUUAUUCUAUUAGCCAAGUAGCCGUCAAUAAUUUUUGAGUUAUCAUAAUCAACUAUAGAUCACUGACUAUGCUCACAAGAAAAAAACCAAACAGUUAAUUGACCCAAAUGACACAAAGUGGUUACCUUGAGAGGUCCAGGGCUACCCUCUGCUACAGGCACACCUGGAUAUCCUGCAAUCUCACACUAUCCUUUUGCACAUUAAAAACAGAACUUGAUCAUGUACACAAUCCAAAAACAGGAAAGAUUGCAAAUUUUGGGAGCAUAAAUAACCAUGCAGAAGAGGAACUAAAGUACAGAUAUAACAUACCAAAAGCAAUGCAUUGCGAGUAGCACCUUCAGUAGUUACAUUACCAUAUAUUGUUGUCAAUCCUAAUAUAUCCAAGUCAGGUGAUUGGAAUGCCAUUAAUAUAGCCAUGCUAUCAUCUGCACAUCAGCAAAACUCACACUUCAAUCUCAAGUUCGAAAGAUCAGAACAGCCAGAGAUGUGGGAAUAUAGGGGCUUAUUUACGUGUUUGCACAAGCUAAACAAAACGUGAUCUAACUGUGUAAAACUAAUCACCUAAAUCUCAUUGAUAAUAUAUUUUGCUGGAUUGUCCGUUGAACCUAACAUAAGUCCAUCUAAUAAUUCCAAAAUAAGUACAUGAAUAAGGAUCAACAGUCUUUAAAAAGAAUCUCGAAACCUCUAAUUACCCCCAAGCCCCCAAUCCCUCCCCCCCCCCCCCCCACUAAAACACCAAAAAAAAAAAAAAAAAGAAGAAGAAGAAGAAACCAGGAAUAUUGUAACUUGAGCAAAAGACGAAUAUAUUAUCAUCAGUAAUGCUUAUUUCAAUUCCACUAUUACGAAAGAUUGGAGUACAGAAGAAAAUGCACUCAAAGACUAAAUUUUUCUUUAGAUUUCCAAUAUCAAAAUUUACUUCCCAUUUUUUUUAAAAAAAAAUUUCUCUCCCACUUUACAAAAUACACGAUGUUUAUAUAAUAUAUCUAUGUGCGAUUGGAGGAGGUAUAAAAGGCAAGACAAAAUAUAUAGAUUUUAGUCCAUAUGUUUUUUCACUACAAAGGGAACUUUUCUCCCGUUGAGGUAGAAUUUGGAAAAGAAAAUGCCAAAAAUUAGAAAUAGCACGCCGAAGGAUGGAAUAACAGACAUAGAUGAUAGAACCACAAGAAUAUAGAAAGCCAUAGCAUUUUCCCUGAUUCAAAAGUACGUAACUUUUUCGAUCAAACUUUGCUGUCAUAAUACUAUAUUCCAGAACCAGGCCCACUGUAGCCACCAAAAAUGAAAGAAACGCACAAACUCAGAGGAAGAUACCGCAUUAUAAAUCAAAAAGUUGCAGUAAAUCGAAUCAACUUUCCAAGACUAAUUGAGCUGGGCUCAAUCUGAAACUGAUAUUAGUAUUAUACUCAGACAACGAAACACAAAAGCAAGGAAAUCCUGAAACUCAUGAGUUAGUAAUUAGUACAAGAAAGGCUGACCAAUGCCAGGAUCGGUGUCAAUGAUGAGCUUGUGACGCUUCAUGGCACCAGAAUUGGCAAAAUCUUCGGCCAACGCAUCAGCCAUCACCAACCCAUUAGCGCACCCACCAUUAACCACACGUGAAUUGGACAUCCCUUUCACAGUACAGUUGAUUGCAAUCUUUCCGGUAGUAGUAAUACAAAACUGGUAGAUGAGAGUGUGAAAGCAGAAUUGAGCAGGGAGGGGGCUUGGAGUGCGGGCCUUAGGCACACACUUAAUUGGAGACUUAUAGGAAAACAAAGACGCAGCCGCUGGGGACCAAAUUCAUAGUAAUUAACAAACAAAGAGAAAACAAAACCAAGUACUAGUUGUCUAGUACAAACAACUCUUUGUUUGAGACUAGACAACUAGUGGUGAAAGAAAGAUGGAGGAAGAGUUGUGUAGGAAUUGGGUGAGGAAGAUGCCGAGAAGGUAUGGAAAUGCCCUCUUUCCUAAACUGUUUUUGGGUUUCCUAAUUUUUUGUUUAAAACGCCAUCGCGCACCACGCCUCCUUGUUUUGUGUUUUCCUAAUGCUUGUGUUUGGAAUGGCAGCGACAGAUAAACCAAAAACAAAAUUAAAUAAAUAUACUUAGUUGGACCUAAUUUAUCAAUCGUGAUUAAACUAAAAUUAAAGAUUGGACCAUACCCUGGUCCACUUUAUUUGUUUAGCAAAGGAGGAUAAAGACGAACUAAGAUUAACCACAUAGUCUACAGACUGUCACAUUUCUAGGCAAGCGUAACGUGGAUUGACAUUUGGCAGAGCCCUCGAAUUGCGAACAUUCAACUCACUUAGUGAUAGUCGAUUUGUUAGUAGAAUAUGCUUACUUCCUUGUUAAGCAUAUCGAUUAAUAUGCGGAUUAAUUGGGAUAGUUUUUUGUUUUUUUUUUUUAAAAAGUUUGAGUGGGUUUCGAGAUCUGGACAUGACUCUGAAAUUAUAGAAUGCUUACAUAGAUUUUUAAUCGUUCACCAACAUAAUUCUCACAUUGACAACACAAAAAAGUAAGCCGUCCUUAACAACUACACUAUCGUAUAUUGGUGAAUUAAUUGGGACGGGGUGUGUGUAUCAUGUUAUCCUUAGUUGCCACUAAUAUUGCUUGGAUACCUGAAAAGAAACUUUUCGCCUAAUUUUUUUCCCUUUUUUUAACUACACCAAAAAAUGGAAUUGUCAAUAAGGUCGAGUUAAUUCAAGUGCGACCCGUAAAAAAGACCAAUAAGCCAUGUGUUUAAGAGGAUCGGGCAGAGUUUAGCCUUAAAUAAUAGAUCUGAAUAAAAUGUGAAUCAAGUUUAUGACUCAUUAGACUCAAACCUAAUUAAGGCCUGGCCAGUUCAUUUCUGUGUCUCUAUAUAUAUAAAAUUGCAUACUAAAUUAUAUAUAUAAUAUAUGUAGUUAUACAGAUUAUAAUAUUAAUAAUUUAUAUACAAUUCUAUAAUAAUUUAUAAAUAUUAAUAUAUUAUGUAUAAUUAUAUAAUUAAUUAUGAACUUGAGUCGAACACUGUAUGAGCCCAAAACUCAUAUUAAAUAACGAAUCGAGACUGAAACUUCUAAUCUAGGUUCAAACCCGAAAGCCUAUUUUUUGAGUCAAGCUCGGGCUUGCCAAAUUCUAGCUCAUAAUGUCUAAUUGACACCCCUACCCAAAAAGUUAGGAGGUUUGUGUAAGCAUACGCAAUUGGAGGAGGAGGGGCAUAGUUACUACUUAAUUAGCAUGUGGUUUUCUUAAUUCGUCCAAGUUGUUUGUUUAGUUUAGCCGAAUAAAAGAUGUCUGGAGGCUGGAAUUCAUAAUUCAUAAUCCUAAUGACCAAAAAUGCUCCCCCAAGGGCUCAUCUUAGUCUUCAGUUGUUUUUCACCAUUAAUAAUAAAUCCAGUCAUCUUAUCUAAACUACGUGAUCCCAUUGUAUUUGAUAAUUAGACAGUACAAUUGACACGCCUCCCCCUGCCCCACACAAUAAUUGCUAAUUAAUUAAACACGAAAUGCAGUGCCGAGUAUUCCUCGUGGGCUGACUCGGCUCCACGUUAGGACCAUGGACGCUAUUUAAACACGUUUUCCGUCCAUCCACCGACUAAAUUUCUACUUGAAUUGUAUGUUGAGGGAUUGAAUUUCACCUGGGCCUGUUAGAAAGUAUCUCUUCGAUCUAAUCAGAUUUAUAAACUUGUUAGUCUCUUAUAUAACUUUUUUAGACUCUCUUUUCUUGUAAAAUAGAAUAUGAUAGAUUAGGUUCUAAUCUCUUAUAUAAUCCCUUUGCAGUUUCCUUCUUAUAAAAUACGAUAGAAUAAUUUAGGUUAUAAAAAUCUUAUCAUCGUUAUAAAAAAGAAAAACAUCUUCACACCCAUUUUUUUUUAAAAAAAAUAUUUUUGGGAUAAAUGAGAGGUGUAGGAUGCAAAACUUCUUUCUCACCGACAUGAAAGGACGUAUAUGACGGAAUUACUCAAGUGCCCCAGCCGUCUCGAAAUUUCCCCGAUAGCAAAUGCAUGAAAAACCUCAAAUUUCGGGGCAUUCACAUAGACUACUUUCACGUCAUGUUUCUUGAAUUAACUGAGCAAAAUUAGUUUAUAUAAUGCGAAUUAAUUUUUCCUGCACUUGCGCGAUAUAAUCGCAGGCUGUAGUCUGUAUCUACGCUGUUUCACCUGUUCCUUUCCUGUUGAUAAACAAACAUGUAAAAAAAAAAAAAAAAAGCCAAUUAAACAAGAGGAAUAGGCAGGGGCGGAGCCAAAAAAAAUUCUUAAUGAGGGCAAAAGCAACACUAAAAUUUUUUACCUACUAUUUUUCUAGUUUUUUAAGCAAAAAAAAAAAAAUUCACCAACAAGUACAAAUGAUGCAUAUAUUCCAUGAAAAACAUAAAAAGACAAAUUCAAAAUUAUUAAUGUAAUAAUAAUUUUAUUUCAAAAACAAACUAAACUAUUUAUAAUUGCUUACUGCGAGUUUUUAUAUUUUGAUAACUAAUUUGGUUGUGAAAUGUAGUGGCUCUCGAUUGUGGGGGGAAAAUGGGGGACUGGAGGAGGGAAGGGAAAUUGGUGAGUAGGGCCCAAAGAAAGUGAAUGAUAUGAUUGGAUGAAUUGAUCAAGAGAAAGAGUUAGCUAGCUGCUUAGUUUGUGGAGUAGUGUCUCUCGAUUUGUGUGGGAAAAAUGGGGGGAACCGAGGAGGGGAAGGCGAAAUGGGAGUGGGAUCGAAAAAAAAGUGAAUGAUAUGAUUGCGUACUUACUAGUUAAAAUGAAAAGGCUUUUUUUAGCUUAUUUCAAAUGGAAUUUUGUGCCCACGUAUCUUUUUAGAAUUUUAGUUUAUGAAUUAACUUAAAAAAUCGCGUAAUUCUUUCACAUCCUUUCUAAAAAAAACUCCAGGGUAUACUUAAAAUUAUAUUAAAAUUGUAUUAAUAUUAUAGGAAUUUAAGGAGACAGGGGGCGUGCCCCAGUACCCCGCCUUAAAUCCCGGCCCCUGGGAACAGGUUCAUAAUCCUUGCAAGAAAAAAUACAAGCAUCUUCAGCCCAUCAUUCCUUCUAGAAGCACAUAUGCCAAUCUUUCUGGAGGAGAGCCACGUUAAGAUUGAAAAAAUUUAAAUGUUUCGCCUUCACUUGUUAGAAUAAAUAGCAUCCAGAACUACUCAAAUACGUUGGUCUGAGAGAGGAGCUAAUUCUAUCUAGGCAAACAUUAAACCUAAAAUGCCCGCUAAAAUGCAUGGCAGACCGGAGUCAAAUUACAAUUUUCCGAAAAUCCCUAGCAGGAUCUUCAAGUUUAAUGAUAAACAAGCUAUGAAAAAUCCCUUUUGCUUUUUCCGCCCUCAUCUUGUCCACAAAUUCCUGUUAGUAUCAGGCCCCUUCAUCAAGAUCACGCUCUUCAAAAUGGUCCUGCAGUCAUUGAAGAAUAAAGAACCUGUAAGACAAAGUACAGUGUGCUUAAAACUAUACAAUUCCUCGAGGAACUUAAAAGAGCAAAGUUUGUGCCAGAAUCCCGGCUAAUUGCUUAGAUUAUAGGUAAAAAAAAAAAACAUCCGUCAAAUGCACCUCUGACACGGAUCGUUCUUGUUCUAUACGUGCCGUACUGAUUCAGCACGGCCCCAAAAUAAAUUUCGCAGAAGUCAGAAAAAUGUCAGCCUGUGCAGGUUUGUGUCAGUCCAGACCGUGUUAACUGUGCACGGCCCGGAAUGACGAAAGACUGACAGAUACUGCUUUUGUCAGUCCGGGCCGUACACAUUCAGCACGGCUCCUUUGAAAAAAAUUAAGCACGGGAUUUCUCCUUGCCAUUUCCAAUUUGGCUCGCAGCAGAGGACUACAUAUGCCAAUAAUGCAAAGUAAAGAAAUGAUAAACUAAUGGGGCCCUGAUUGGAGUUAAUUGUGAAGCCGUUUAGAAUUCCUAGUCUUCGACUGCUCAUGACACAAAUGGGAUCGUGGUGCUAGCUACAGACAAUUGUACGGUCUAUCAAUAUUUUGUCAACUUUGAAAUUAUUUUUUGAAUUUGAAUGUUGACCGAAUAUGCAUUGUUGAUAUUUCAACACAAUUUUAUGUAUUAUUGAAAAUUAUAUAUUAUGUAUUAUACAAAUAUUUAUAUAAUGAAAUGUACAAUAAAUAUUACAAAUUGAAAUAUUAUAUAAACACCAUAUUUAUAAUAUUACAAUAUUUAUAAUUAAUAUUAAUGUAUAUUAUAUAUAUUAAAUAUUUAUUUAUUUAUUUAUACAUAUUAUAAAUAUUUUAUUUUAUUUAAAAAAUAUUUUUAUAUAUUUAUAAUAUAUUUAUAUAAAUAUUAUAUAUUAUAUAAAUUAUAUUAAUAUACAUAAUAUUAAUUUUACAUUUAUACAUAAUAUUAAUACAUUUUUGCAUUUAUAUUAAUUAUAUUAAUACAUUUACACAUAAUAUUAAUAUAUAUUAAUUUAUACAUUUAUAUAAUAUUCAUUUAUAAAUUAUGCAUUUAUAAUAAUAUACACUUAUACAUUUAAAAAUAUAUUUAUAUUAUGUAUUAUAUAUAAUAUAAUACAUUUAUAUAUUUCAUAUAAAUAUAUAAAUACAUUUAUUUAUAAAUAUUUAUAAAUGUAUUAUAAAUACAAUAUUUAAAUGUAUAAGUGUAUAUUAUUAUAAAUGCAUAAUUUAUAAAGAUAAUAGAAUCCCAAGACUUGAUUUUUCUUUUGGCACUUGAGGUGUCAUUAAGCAUUAGCCCUAUAAAUAUUUUGCUUAACCAACAAAAACAUCCCCCUUCCCAAGAAAGAACGAGGAGCGAGGAAACUUACAAGAUUCCACAAAGGAUCACUCCUACGGCAUUCUCACCUGCUACAAGACCAAUGGUUUAAAUUUUUUUCAAAGGAGCCGUGCUGAAUGUGCACGGCCCAGACUGACAAAAGCAGUAUCUGUCAGUCUUUAGUCAUUCCGGGCCGUGCACAGUCAGCGCGGCCCGGACUGACACAAGCCUGCACAGACUGACAUUUUUCUGACUUCUGCGAAAUUUAUUUUGGGCCGCGCUGAGUCAGCACGGCACGUAUAGAACAAGAACGAUCCCGUGUCAGAGGUGCAUUUGGCGGAUGUUUUUUUUUUUUACCUAUAAUCUAAGCAAUUAGCCCAGAAUCCCACUCCUUCAUUGUGAUUUUUUGAAGACAAAAUCAACUAAAACACCGGGUGCACAAAGUUGCCUUGGGCUUCAACUGCUAGAACAAACCUCUGCACAUAAAUCAAAAUGAACCAGGGUGGAACCGACAGAAUAUAAAUUGCUUGUGCAAAAGACAAAUGCGCAACGAAACACAGGAUAGCCAAUCCUUCCCCUUCAGGGCAUAAUCCCAGUUGAUUUAAUCAUUGCAUUUAGCACCUUUAAGUUGCACUAAGGUGCUCUUAUUUGAUUUUUGCAUUUGCUUUCACAGCUUCUUUUCAGCUGUAACAAACGAAUUUUAGAAGCAACACCUAGUGGUCAUUUAGAAAAACAAAAUUUAGUUAUCCAAACUCUCAACUUUUUAAAAAGACUUUUUUAAAAAAGGAAUAAUAAAUUGCAAGAGGUUAAGCAAACAAGUACAGAAGCUCAGUAAGAAGUUGGAUGUAAGCAUUAGAGUUCUGUCGCUUGAGGUAGCAGAAAUGCAAGCUUAAAGUAACGAUUCAUCUUCUUGGUAAUGAAUUAAGUGAACAAUGCCCAUGUAGAUUUGAUAACGAAGCUCAAAAAUGAUAUGCAUCUAUCAGAACAUUGUGCACAUGCACUUCAAAUGCAAAAUGUUCUCACAAUUGUCUUUUUUUCUGCUACAUGAUACAGUGGUUUGACAUGGUUAAACUUAGAAUAAAACUCAUCAAGCUCUGUUCCACUAACUCUGGAUAUCUAAUAGCACCAUACAUAGAUACAACGGGUGGAAAUGAGGGGAUGCUAAUAUUGAUAAAGAAG
This 48024-nucleotide long non-coding RNA is filed under the name Coffea arabica (coffee). RNAcentral's name for it is "long non-coding RNA (CARA_LNC003951)". The record is from RNAcentral. Lineage: Eukaryota; Viridiplantae; Streptophyta; Magnoliopsida; Gentianales; Rubiaceae.